GAAACUCAGGAAGGGGUAAAUGCAAAGCUUAACCUUUGGAGAGAAGUGUUGGAAUCUAAAGGUCUUCGCCUAAGCCGAUCAAAGACAGAAUAUAUGGAGUGCAAGUUCAGUGCAAAUGGAGGCCAAAACGAGUUAGGGGUGAGGAUCGGAGAUCAAGAAAUACCAAAGAGCGACCGUUUUCGUUACCUAGGAUCUAUCUUGCAAAAGAACGGAGAAUUAGAUGGAGAUCUCAACCAUAGAAUACAAGCUGGAUGGAUGAAGUGGAAGAGUGCAUCCGGCGUGUUGUGUGACCGCCGUAUGCCACUGAAGCUCAAGGGAAAAUUUUAUAGGACGGCAAUAAGGCCGGCGAUGCUGUAUGGCACAGAAUGUUGGGCGGUGAAACAUCAACACGUACACAAAAUGGGUGUAGCGGAGAUGAGGAUGCUUCGUUGGAUGUGUGGGCACACGAGAAAGGAAAAGAUUAGGAAUGAGGAUAUCCGGGGUAAAGUAGGAGUAGCCGAAAUUGAAGGAAAGAUGAGAGAAAAUCGGUUACGGUGGUUUGGACAUGUGCAAAGAAGGCCUACUGACGUUCCGAUUAGAAGAUGCGACUAUGGGACAGAGGUGCAGGGCCGAAGGGGUAGAGGAAGACCUAGGAAAACUUUGGAAGAGACUCUAAGAAAAGACUUAGAGUACUUGGAUCUAACGAAGGACAUGACACAGGAUCGAGCACAAUGGCGUUCUAAGAUUCAUAUAGCCGAUCCCACUCAGUGACUUGGAUUUUCCAAGUCUCCAACCGAGAAGUUUUCCUCACUUCGGGAAAUUAAGGGAACACUACCCCAACCUACAUGCUCCACUCAGAAAGCUUCAACAUACAAGCUUUAACAAAAGAAAAUUCAAAGAACUUAGCGAAGAAGGCUUUGGUGUAUUUAACACAAUACGUUGAAAUGAAGGAAAGCUUAUUUAUUGAUAUCCCCGAUAAGCUACAAAUAUGUACAUAUACAUGAGUCAAAAUAAACACACAAGAGGGAGCCUUCACAAAGGUUGCUUAGGAGAAGUCUCAGCAGUCGGUAGAGCCCCAGAAAGAGAAGGCACCGGAGGGGGAUCAUUUGGAGCCUCAGUACUGGACAGAACCCUAGAAGGAGGAGGCAUCAGAGGUUGAUCAUUUGGAGCUUCAUUACGCGGUACAGCCCCAGAAGACGAAGGCAAUAAAUGCCUUUGGAACAAACCCACAAAUCUCUGAUGAUCAAGUAAAACCUGACCAUCAGUUUCCUUCAUCUGGUCAAGCUUCCUCUUCAUGUUUGUAGCAUAGUCAUGUGCGAGCCGGUGCAACUGUUUAUUCUCAUGCUUGAGCCCUCUAAUCUCCUGUUUGAGACUCAUCACUUCAGCCGCCAAUGAUUCAACUUGGCGGGUUCGAGCAAAUAGGCGUUGGGCCAUAUUAGACACAGAACCUGCACACUGAACACUGAGAGCCAGCGAAUCCUUAACAGCUAACUCAUCAGACCGUUUGGAAAGUAGUCUGUUAUCUUUGGGAGUGAGAAGGUUCCUGGCCACCACCGCAGCGGUCAUAUCAUUCUUCAUCACGGAAUCCCCAACGGUAAGAGGACCAGUAGGGGAGACGAAGGAUGGGCGCCAUAUGUUGUCUGGAGAAGGCGGGGCUGCCUCUUCAACAAGGUUCAAGUCAAAACGACGGUCGGAGGGGCCAGACAUUUUCAAAGGUGUUGAAGAGAGAAGAGGUCGGACAAAUCAAGAUCUUAGAAGUGCAAGAAUGAAGCUUCUACUGGUGGAGAUUCAAGUGUGCUUUGGAACUUAAUGCCAGCCCCUAUAAAAAUCUGCACUCGACGAAGCUUCAGAAAUCGAAGAGGCGCCUGCUCAGAAAUCGAAGAGGCGUUUGCUUUCUCAAAAGCUGGGCUGCUUAGAGAUCACGAGGGUUGAUCUCAGAAAUCGAAGAGGCGUUUGCUUUCUCAAAAGUUGGGCUGCUCAAAGACCACGAAGGCCGAUCUCAGAAAAUCGAAGAGGCGCUCGCUUUCUCAAAAGCUGGGCUCCCCAGAGACCACGAGGGCCGAUCUCAGAAAUCGAAGAGGCACCUACUUUUCCAGCCUUUUCCAGCCUUGUCAGCACCUGUCACACGCACACUCAGUUUUGCGGAAAUUAUGGGCAUUCUGUCAAAGACUUCUGGGGAAGUAGAAAACACAUGAAUCUUACUGUUCAAUCACCCACUUCCCACACACGCAACAAUAGCUCAUGGGUACCACAGAUAACUUUGCCAAAGUUCUCUGCCAAAGUUGAGCACGUGAAGCUUGCAGCUCCCACUACAUCGCUCUGACCAAGAAGGGUAAAAGAAUAGCAAAAAAGAAACAGCACUAACAAAGUUUAGACCCAUAAAUUUUGAAGGUCUAGCUACCAUAUUAUUACCCACAAGGGUAAAGGAACAGUACCACUGCUGGAUAAUUGGAAAAGUCCCUGUGUGUGUCAACCUCUGUGCUUCGUGGCAAGGUAGACUAGCAAACAUGCCCAACCUUUACUCACAUUCGAGAAAACACUCCCAAUAAGAUUGCUUGCUCCAAAAUCGAAGAGGCACCGUCCUCCGAAUCUCGAGAGCCAGACUCCCAACAUGACUACUUUUCUUAAAAAAUCGAAGAGAGGGUAAAGGAACAGUACCAUUGCUGGAUAAUUGGAAAGUUCCUGUGUGUCAACCUCUGUGCUUCGUGGCAAGGUAGACUAGCAAACAUGCCCAACCUUUACUCACAUUCGAGAAAACACUCCCAACAAGAUUGCUUGCUCCAAAAUCGAAGAGGCACCGCCCUCCGAAUCUCGAGAGCCAGACUCCCAACAUGAUUACUUUCUCAAAAAUCGAAGAGACACUGCUCCCCGAAUCUCGAGAGCCAGACCCCCAGCAUGAUUGCUUUCUCAAAAAUCGAUGAGGCAUCGUUCUCCGAAUCAAUCGAAGAGGCGCUCGCUUUCUCAAAAGCUGGGCUGCUCAGAGACCACGAGGGCCGAUCUCUCAGAAAUCGAAGAGGCACCUACUUUUCUAGCCUUGUCAAGCACCUGUCACACGCACACUCAGCUUUGCAGAAAUUAUGGGCAUUCUGUCGAAGACUUCUGGUGAAGUAGAAAGCACAUGAAUCUUACUGUUCAAUCACCCACUUCCCACACGCAACAAUAGCUCAUGGGUACCACAAAUAACUUUGCCAAAGUUCUCUGCCAAAGUUGAGCACGUGAAGCUUGCAGCUCCCACUACAUCGCUCUGACCAAGAAAGGUAAAAGAAUAGCAAAGAAACAGCACUAACAAAAGUUUAGACACAUAAAUUUUGAAGGUCUAGCUACCAUAUUAUUACCCACAACUGGUAAAGGAACAGUACCACUGCUGGAUAAUUGGAAAGUCCCUGUGUGUCAACCUCUGUGCUUCGUGGCAAGGUAGACUAGCAAACAUGCCCAACCUUUACUCACAUUCGAGAAAACACUCCCAAUAAGAUUGCUUGCUCCAAAAUCGAAGAGGCACCGUCCUCCGAAUCUCGAGAGCCAGACUCCCAACAUGACUACUUUCUCAAAAUCGAAGAGAGGGUAAAGGAACAGUACCAUUGCUGGAUAAUUGGAAAGUCCCUGUGUGUCAACCUUUGUGCUUCGUGGCAAGGUAGACUAGCAAACAUGCCCAACCUUUACUCACAUUCGAGACAACACUCCCAACAAGAUUGCUUGCUCCAAAAUCGAAGAGGCACCACCCUCCGAAUCUCGAGAGCCAGACUCCCAACAUGAUUACUUCCUCAAAAAUCGAAGAGACACUGCUCUCCGAAUCUCGAGAGUCAGACCCCCAGCAUGAUUGCUUUCUCAAAAAUCGAAGAGGCAUCGUUCUCCGAAUCUCGAGAGCCAGAUACCACAGACCACUUUUUCAAAAGUGCUCUGACAGAGUUAAAACAUGUGAAACUGGCAGCUCCCACUACCGUGCUAUGACCAAGCAGGGUAAAGGAAUAGCAUUACUACUUGUUGUUAGGGAGACUCCUAUAUAUGUCGACCUCCAUCCCCAACGGACAGGCAGACCUGCAAAAAUGCUCAACCCUUCAUCAUAUCUGAGAGGGCACUCCCAACGAAGCCUUUCGAAAUAUUCAGCUUUCUUUCCCCCCGAUAAUACCUCUGCAAAACAAGCUAUACUAGAGCAAGAAUAUCUCAUAUCAUCAGGGUUAAAAGCAAGAGUAUCCCAUAUCAUGCUUUUUUCCCUGUCUUUUCUUUUGGCCUUGUUUUUACCUGCAAGACAAGGAGAAAGAGAGCAAUCAGUCAGCACUUGGAAUCAAGCUUCCAGCCAGGAACUGACUGCCUGGAACCCCUUACCUGAUUACUUACCUGGCAUUGCUCUCGAGUACUCAUCUUCAACAUCUUAUGUUUCCAGGGAAGAUUCCGCAUCUGCUUGAGGAACAGAUAGGGCAAGUGCGAAGGAUACAAGGAAGCAUGUGGAGACAAGCGUAACAGCACACGUGCCGAUACAUCCAUUACUCUGUCAAAAGCAAAAGUAUCCCAUAUCAGCAGGGUGGAACGUACUCUAGAUUUGAUGGACUUGUUUUGACCCUCAAAUUCUUCAGUCGGCCUUAUACUCUGGAGGAAACCAGAAAACCCUCCAGCUCAGUUCAAGAAUAAGCCUGUGGAAAGUUACUUCUUCAAAAGCAAAAGUAUCUCAUAUCAUCUCUUCUCAUUUUUCUUCUCUUUAUCCUUCAUGCUGCUGCAAGAUGGGGAGAAGGUGAACAAUCAGUCGGAGCUCUGAUUGCUUACCUUGUCUGUCACCUCUUUCAGCAGACCCCCCUAGCUCGGCGACUUGGGGGACUCCUACUACAUGGUUUGUAUCGCGCUUGACCAAGCCUGAAACUACAAGUAAGCUUCAAGUGAAAUUGAUACAUUACCUUGUGCAUCUCCACCAGUUAAAGAUACCACCCCUGGAUGGAGGAAGAGUACUUCCAGAGAAGAUGCCACAUCUACCUAUGAGACAGAUAAGGCAAGUCAAGACGACACCACACUCCGAUACUUAGAAGUUUCGUGAUUACGAGAUCAUUCUCCCACAAUAUUUCCUAAUGUCAUUUGUACUAAAUCAUUCACUUGUACUCACUAAAGGAGAGCUUGAACCUAUGUACUUGUGUAAACCCUUCACAAUUAAUGAGAACUCUUCUAUUCCGUGACGUAGCCAAUCUGGGUGAACCACGUACAUCUUGUGUUUGCUUUCCUAUCUCUAUCCAUUUAUAUACUUAUCCACACUAAUGACCGGAGCAAUCUAGCGAAGAUCACAAAAAAGCGACCGUUUUCGCUACCUAGGAUCUAUCUUGCAAGAGAACGGAGAAUUAGAUGGAGAUCUCAACCAUAGAAUACGAGCUGGAUGGAAAGAGUGCAUCCGGCGUGUUGUGUGACCGUCGUAGGCCACUGAAGCUCAAGGGAAAAUUUUAUAGGACGGCAAUAAGGCUAGCGAUGUUGUAUGGCACAGAAUGUUGGGUGGUGAAGCAUCAACACGUACACAAAAUGGGUGUAGCGGAGAUGAGGAUGCUUCGUGGGAUGUGUGGGCACACGAGAAAGGAUAAGAUUGGGAAUGAGGAUAUCCGAGGUAAAGUAGGAGUAGCCGAAAUUGUAGGAAAGAUGAGAGAAAAUCGGCUCCGGUGAUUUUGAACAUGUGCAAAGAAGGCCGACUGACGCUCCGGUUCGAAGAUGUGACUACGGGACAGAGGUUCAGGGCCGAAGGGGUAGAGGAAGACCUAGGACAACUUUGGAAGAGACUCUAAGAAAAGACUUAGAGUACUUGGAUCUAACGGAGGACAUGACACAAAACCGAGCGCAAUGGCGUUCUAGGAUUCAUAUAGCCGACCCCACUUAGUGGGAAAAGGCUUUGUUGUUGUUGUUUGUUGUUGAAAGUGGGUGAGGAAAUAAGAGAAUGAGGGUACGUAGGCAUAGCACCAAAGCUUAAUUAUUUUUCAUGAGCCUUUUUCCUAUUAUUUAGAGCUAUAUAUAACAGAUAAGUUACUUAACAUGAAAGGGCUUUUAGGAGAAUAAUGAAAUUGGAUUUUUCAGGAUUUCUUCACGGCAGGUACAGAUACAACCGCCAUUUCAAUGGAGUGGGCACUAGCAGAGCUCAUCAACCACCCGAAGGUGCUGGAGAAAGCAAGGGAGGAGAUUGAUCGAGUCGUUGGGAAUAGACGGAUAGUCGUAGAAUCAGACGGUCCAAGCCUUCCAUACAUACAAGCCAUCAUAAAAGAAACACUGAGACUGCACCCACCUGUGCCUAUGAUCCCAAGAAAGAGUGUACAAAAGUGUAACAUUGGAAACUAUGUGAUCCCAGAAAACACAAUGCUAUUUGUGAAUGCUUGGGCCAUCGGAAGGGACCCAAAGUAUUGGGAAAAUCCUUUGCACUUUUACCCUGAAAGAUUCUUAGCACCACUCAGUGGUGGAGGAGAUGGAGCGCGUGCAUUAGAUCUUAGGGGGCAACAUUUUCAGCUGCUUCCGUUUGGGACCGGGAGGAGGAUAUGCCCUGGUAUAAACCUAGCCCUGCAAAUGCUGCCAGCCCUACUUGGUGCAAUGGUUCAAUGCUUUGAUUGGAAAGUUGUUGGGGUAAAUCAGAAGCAUAUGAACGGUGAUGAGGUUCUGGAAAUGGAUGAACGGCCAGGAAUGGCAACUCCACGAGCCCAUGAUUUGAUUUGUAUUCCAGUGGUACGUUUUGAUCCCGAGUUGUAUCCUUGACCCAUAAAGCAGGUGAGCAUAUUGUAAUUGUUUGAAGACUUUGAUCCAAAUGAAGUUUGAGGACUUGAAGUGGGUGUCAAACUUACAUGGAAAUGGAUAAAUAACACUACGUUAUUUCUAUUCCUAUUUAAGUUUUCUUUUUCGAAGUACUUUUAUGAUUAAGGCUUACUUAAGCCUCAUGUACAUUACAUGAAGUCUCACUUUAUUUCUACAGUUUGUCAUGUCCCACUUUGUUUCCUGCACUUAUCCAUUAUGUUUCACUUUACUCCGUUUCUUUAAUUGGGUUAAAGAGACGUUAGUUUCGUUGAUUUGACAAAGGCUCUUUGAUUUUUUUCAGUCAAUUUUUACAUUUCGCUCUCAAAUUACCAUAUAUUGUCCUUAAAACUCACAAUUUCUUCAAUCUAUCACUAUAUUCACUGUUGAAAAGAUCGAAGGACCCCUACCAUAUUAAUGAAACUGAUGCUCAACCCAAUUGACGGAAUGGGGUACCGUGUGACAUGAAAAAUAAUUACAAAGGAUAAAGUGAGACAGAAUCAAAUGUAUGUUGUGAAGCGAAAUUUUGUCUAGAGUAUAUAGGGGUACCAAAAAAUAAGCUUUAAUAGUAAAAUUGGUUAUGUAAUUAGGGUAUACAAGGAAAAAUCACAUAGGGUGACAUGUUACAAUGAGAGAGCUAUAGCUAAAGGAUAUUGUUUGGCUCCUUAUAAUUACAUGUAUCAUAAUCAAAAUCAUUCAUUCUUUUAAUAAUUAUCUAAAGAUAAUCUAAAAAGACAAUUAUUUUGGUUUGAAGUCCGUUUAGUCAUAUAUAUAUAUAUAUAUAUAUAUAUAUAUAUAUAUAUAUAUAUAUAUAAUGUAUUCAAUGUCAAAAUCAAAGAUUGAUAAUAUGGCUUGCCAUCGUGCAAAAAUUUGUUUUGAUGCAAUGUUUUGAACAUCUUUUUGUAAAACAUGUUUUGCAGAUUUACAAUCGACUCUAACAAGAAAUUUUUGAUUUAAUAAAUCAUCUUGAAAUUUACUAAUGCAUAAUACUAUAGAUAAUAUUUCUUUCUUAAUAGUACUAUAGUUAGUUUGAGCGGGAUUCCAUACACCUGAAUGAAAACGAACAAUUUGUUCAGGUGAUCCGGAAGAAGUUUGCUGCUUGAGAAUUCCUCCAUAACUAACGUCAGAGGCGUCAGUUUCAACUAUCUUAAAAGAGUUGGGAGUUGGAAUGCCAAGACAGGGCAAAGUCUUAACAUGAUUUUUUAUCUGUUUGACAAUAGAAGUAUGGAUGGUAGACCAAACAGGGGGAUUCUCCUUAAGACGGUCAAACAAAGGUUUACAUUGUUGACGCAGAUGAGGAUAAAAUUCUGAAACAUAAUUCAAAGAACCUAAGAAUCUUUGAAGCUGUGAUUUUUCAGUAAUCUGAUCUGGAAAUUUAUCUGCAAAUUGGAUGACACGGUCAAUUGGUUGGAUGGUAGAUCUAUGGAUAUUAUAACCUAAGAAUCUAACCUUAAGUUGAAACAAUUUAAUCUUAGUGGCUGACACAACUAAUCCGUUUGAUCUAAUGAUCCUAGCAAACAAGUGCAAAUGUUUCCAAUGUUCAUCGAUAGAUUUAGAAUAAACGAGAACAUCAUCAAUAUAAACAAUAGUAAAAUGGCUAUACUGAUUGAAAAUCUCAUUCAUGAUAUUCUGAAAUUCAGAUGGUGCAUUCUUUAAACCGAAAGGCAUAACAUUCCAUUCAUAAUGGCCGAAAGGCGUUACGAAAGCAGUUUUAUAUUUAUCAGAUUCAUGAAUUUGAAUCUGCCAAAAUCCUGAUUUCAUAUCAAACUUUGAGAAAAUAGUUGCUUUACUAAGCCUUUUUAUUAGAUCUCUUUUGUUAGGGAUUGGAUAUCGAAUCCAUUCCAAAACUUCAUUUAAAGGUUUGUAGUUAAUAACUAAGCGGGGAGUUCCUCUUUCAAUUUCUGCACUUUUCUGUACAUAAAAUGCAGGACAUGACCAAGGCGAUUUACUUUUACGGAUAAUUCCUUUAUUAAGAAGAUCCUGUAUUUCUGCUUUGCAGAAAUCCAUUACUUCUUGACUCAUUUGAAUAGGUCUGGCCUUAGUAGGUAUUUUUGACUCAUUAAAUUCUUUGAUGUAAAGUAGUUUAACAAUAUGUUGUUUUCGGUGCCAAAAGGCGUUUGGAAUAUCAGAACAUACUUCCAUAACAAGCUGUGCUUCGAAUUUAGAGAUUUUUUGAGAUAAGAUCUCUUGUUUGAGUUGUUCUUCAGUUCUUUUAUGAUGAAUAUCAUCUUUUAAGAAUUGAAGAUGUUUGGUCUUAUUAGAAAUUAUGUUUAAGGAUCGCAAAGUGCUAUCCUUCUGGAGGUGUCUAAGUUUUUUGAGGUCUGUUUCUAGGCAGAAUUCAAAUGUGACUUUCUGUCCUAAGACUUUUGAGGUAAUCCUAUUAUGAUGAGUUUUGAAUGGAUAUAAGAGUGCGAUAAAAGGUAAUCCUAAUAUGACAGGGUCAGACAAGUUCUUGAUUAGAACAAAAGGUGUUUUGAAAUAAACUUCAUUUUGGCAGACAUGUGCCUUAGGAAGUUCAUAUUUGAUUUCCAUUGGAGACUCAUUAGCAGCACUAAGGAUUUCCUUUGAUUUGUGGAAAUACCUAGUGGGAAUUAGUCAUUCUUGAAUACAAUUCAAGUCUGCGCCUGAAUCUAUCAAUGCUAUUGUUUCGAAACGAAAAUCUUCGAUUACUAUCGUUACUUUAGAAUACCAUUUUUGGAUUCUAAUUUUGUGAAGAAGAUUCAGAACUAAGUGUUCUGAAAUUUGGUCAGAAUCUGACUCAGAAUGACUACUGGAAGAAGAGGAACUGAAUAGUUCUUCUUUUGGAGGAAUAUUGACUCUAGUGAGUUGUGUACGAAUCUCAUGGUUAUCAGAUUUCAAUAGUUUAAUUUCAUCUUUAAUUUUAUUAAUUUCUUUUUGGAGGUCACUGACUGUGAUAUCUUUCUUAGUCUUACUAAACUUUGCUAGUGUGGUUCUAAGAGAUAUUUGUGGUUUUUGGAUCUGGGAUUGGCUACUACCUACUUAUUCUUGGGAGACUAAAUCUUUGAGUUUUUUGAGGUAGAACUUUUUGAGUCCAGGGUCCUCAACAUUGCUGAUUAGUUCUAAGAGUAAUUCUUCUUGUUUUUCUUGUUUAGUUAUUACUGAUAUAUUUUUACAACAGGCAUCAGGACAUCCAAGUUUGAUGUCUAGGGUAGAAUGCUUGCUAGAAGCAGAUUGAUAUGAAGAUGAUGAGGUAGAACCAAGAUCAUCUUCGGAUGAAUGACUAUUGUCAAUAUCCUGGAGUUCUAGGGUUUGAAUAAGUUAAAGUUUUUCUUCUUCAGAAAUCUUCAACUGGCUUAUGAGUUUCUUAACUUUACACUUAUUAGCGUAAUGACCUUCUUUGCCACAUUUGUAGCAUUUUCCCUUAUGACUAUUGUCUUUAGAGUGGAAUUUUCCAGAGGAUUUUCUCUUUCCUUUCCAUUUCUGGGAUCUGGGGUGUUCGUAAAACGGGUUUGGUUUGGCAUACUUGCCUUUGCUAUAUUUGGAGUAGUUAGUAUGAGGUUUAGAGAUCUUAGAUCUACGGAAGCUAGUUGAUUUUUUCUGGAGGUUGGAAGGAGCUAUAGGUGGUAGACCAUAUUGUUCACAGAAUGUUCCUAAUUCAUAUUUGGCUAUUGCUUUUUCAGAUUGGAUUUGUCUAGAUAUUUUCAUAUCUAUGCACAUUUUCAAACCUUCUUUUUGGAUAGUACUUAUGAUAUGUCCAUAAGUAAGGUUUUCAUAUGGUAUAAUACCGUCUUCGUUUAUCAAGGUAUUCCUUAUUUUAUGUGCAAAAAGGUUUGGUAAGCCAUUUAUGAAUUUUUCUUUCCAAAAUGGUUGAUUACUAUCAUCUCUAAGCAUGACUCUUGACAGGAAUACAUCUUUAUACCAUCUAAAAUCACUUAAGGUAGGACACCUUAAGUUACUUAGUUGGUCAUGGACCCUGGAUGUGAUGUUAGAAGGGAUUCCUAUGAAGUGUUGUAUGAUUGUAUAGAGUAAGGUAUUGAUUGCAUCUGGGACACCACAUCCUAGAUGUUCAUCGAAGAUAGGUAUUCCUUCUUCAUCCUGUUUUACUGCAUAUCUAAUUAGAUUUCGGGAUUCCUCAGUAAGGUGUUUCUCCCACCAGGAAUGAAGCAUUCCUGUGAAUCCAGAAACAAUGAUGUCUACAAUUUGGGUUUGACUAAGGUCAUGAUUAGUAAUAUAGCUAUUUGCUACCAUGGAGAUAUGUUGGAGUUUGUUUAAUAACUCUUGUUCUGAUAAACCAUCUAUAUUCCAUUCAUAGAGUUUAUCAGAUGAAACAGUGAAUUGGGAUUGGAAAUUCCUUUCUUCAAAUUGAAGAUCAGGAGGUGUUGGUCUGGGAUACCAAUUUUUAGUUAAGGAUGUAGGAUUAGUUCUUUUGACGUUAAUACGUUUCAAUUCAGGACUCUGAAAAGCAUUCCAUUCCAUAUGGGGAAUGGAAUCAACACUUUCAUCUUCUGAAGCCAGAAUUGAAUAAGGUGUUUCUGAAUUAUGUGGAUUAUUAAUUACACGAACUGAUUUUUCCUUUUCAAGCUUACUGAGCAUUUGGUCAAUCCUACUGGAUGUUGAGGUUUUUAAAGAGGGUAACUCUUUAAAACUGGUUAAGGGUAUGUCUUUAUUAAGAGGUUUGAUUGACAAGUUAUCAAUUUUUGUUUCUAUUUUGUCCAACUGUUUUCCUAUGGUAUGUAGGCUUUGGUUGGUAAAAUUGUUUUGUUCAAUAACAGGUUUAACCCCUGCAUCAUCCUUCGGAAGUUUGAAUGGUGAGGCUGGGAUUUGCGUAUUGACCGUGGUGAUGAGAAUAGUUUCUUGUGGGGGAUGACUGGAGGAGACAAUUGUCUUGUCUUCCUUAAGCCAAUUUUCUUUGGUUAUGACCUUUACUUGUUUUUCAGACUCAUAAUGUUUUUCUACGAAGUCGAAGAAAAAUAUUUCAAGUCGGUUAGUUUGCAUGAAAUCUUUCCAUGCUUUAUGAAUUUGUAGUUUUUCUUCAGCAGUAUACUUACUUCUGAAGAUGUUUCGUCGAGGGACAUUUUCUAAGGCUUCUAUGUCUUUACAAAGUUUUUUACGAUCAUAUUUAAAAGGUUCUUGUCUGGUUAAGACCAAUAAUUGGUGAUGUACUGGUUCUGCGUCAAAAUCAGAAGCAGUUGGGGAUGUUUGUUCUUCCUUAUUAAGAACAGGUUGGGUUUGGUAAGUAGGCUGGACGACUUGAGCGUUUGUCUCAAGUGACUGAAGUUUAAAAUUUAAAAGGUCAUUUAUUAAUUCUUGUUAUGUGACUGAUGAGCCUGUAUCUACUGAUUUUAAUUUUAAGUUCCUAUCCGCAAAAGAAUUGAUUAAUUCUUGGUCUCGACCUUGCCUAUCGUUUGACAUAGAUCCAGAGAAAGAAUUCCUACUGGAAGCAAAAUAUUUAAGUGAUCUAUUAGAAUCACAAGAUUUUCUGGCAGGACGAUCAAAAUUAAUUUUAACCGUACCGUCAAAGUAUUGUUCUAUAUUGUCUAAAUUGACUAGACUAUUUUGGAUGGCUACAGGCCUACUUUCGUUUAUCAGGCACCAAUCUGAAGGGAGAUUGAUUUCUGACCACCUAAUGGUUCUUGGUAUUUUAAUAUUGGCAUUCUCUUGAUUGGUUUGAAUCAAGAGAGUAUGAUCCUUCGGGCUUUUGGUUAAAGCUUGAAAGUUCAUAUUUGUGCCAGUGACUUUAUAGUAGAUUCUGUAAAUUAGUACCAAAGGUUGUGUUCCUUCAAGGACUUUAUAUCCUGAAGUUUUGAUAUUUAGUGUGAGUGCUUUUAACAUAUGUGGGUCGGAUAGACUUAUAGUGAGAUCUGGAAAACAGUCAAAGUGAAUAGGUCCAUUACAAAGGCUGGAUUCAACCAUACCAAGUAUGCUAUCACUGAAGUCAGUGAAUCUAGCAUCUCGGAGACAUAAGAGGAUGGAGGUAUUAAGACCUCUACGUGUUAAUGGUUUGGCUGCAAUUUGCACUAAACCUAUAUGAAUAUAAUUAUGACCAUCUUUCCUAUGGGAAUUAAUUUGUUCUGGGGUAAACAAUUGACAAGUUUCAUGAUCUUUACUAAGAGCAUAAACUUGUUUAACAGUUUUCACAUGAUGUUCAGUUUUAAAAGAGGCUAAAGCCCAUUUCUUUUUAUAAAUAUUUUUUUAAGAUACUUUUGGAAUGUUCCAUUCAGCAAAAUCUAGACUACUGUCUGUUUGAAAUUCAAAUUUUUGUUCUUCAUUGACAAUGUCAGGUAUUGUUUCUAAAUUUGAUCUAGAGCUAGUGCUGGCCAUAGAAUUAGAUCUAAAUAAUCUACUCAUACCAAUAAAUAUCAGACAAUCAAAAUACAGUAAUCUUAACAAAAAAAUCUUACUAGUGAAUCUAAUCACCAAGCUCUCUGGGUCACGCGUGCCGCUCAGACCCUAUCCUCCGGGACUUACUGUUUGGAUGACGCCUUACUGCUCAGACCUUAUGGCAAAGAGAUAACACUAAGAAGAUUAAACUGAUAAGAUGAACUGGAAAGAGAUUGAAAGAAAUCAAAGGUAUAAAUAGAGUAUUUGGAUACUAAUGGUAUAACCAACCACUUGGCUCUGAUACCAAAUGGGUGCGGAAACGGAAUAUAUAUAUUGAUAUUAUAUACUCGAAAUAUUUGAUUAAUAUCAGAUUAGGAUUAACUGGGAAUUGUAAAUUCAUAGAAUCAUUUAUAAGAAUAUAAACAAAUAAAACUAGAUUGAAAGUAGAUGUAAUCUUCAUGAUAAAAUAAUGAAUUAAAAUUAAUGAUGCUAAUAUUCUAUUGAAAAUAUAUUUAUUGAAAAUCGAAAGACUUACAAACAAACGUUUCGUCUACUGACGAUUUAAGUACUGAAUUUGGAGCUCGCAGGCAUCCUUGAUGAUGAUAAUUCAAAAUUAAAAUGCAAGUGUUUUAUGGAUUACAAAUAAGAAGACUCUGUUCUAAAUGAAUACGCAGAGUUUUCUUUUUCUGCUUCCAAAAAAACCCCAUUCUCGAAAGAAACUGAAUGAUCCCUUUAUAGUCGAUGGACGCUGGCUGGAAUGAUUGAGUAAAGAAGCGGGAUCCCCGCUCUGCAUGUGCUAUUACUGUAAAGAGGCCGAAAGCUGAAGAUGCUGUCGGGGACUGUAGUUUUCACGAGGGUGAAUUCUGUGGAUGCAAUGAUGGAUGAAUAGUAAAAGUGGUUUUACUAUUCAUGAAUAGUGUUUUGUCUGCUACUGCAGUUUUGUCCGAAAAUGAUUGCUGCUACUGCUGCUUUCUUUGUCUUCACUUGCUGCUACUGCUUACAAAAUACAAAGUAUUCUAGAGACUACAUACAUUUGAAGUGGAAUUCCCUAUUGGGAUAUACAUGAUAUUACAUUUUAAAACUAAAAUUCGUAAGGGUCUUGAGAAUCAGGCGGGAAAAUAUUUCCUUGUGUGGCUACUGCGCACUGUGAUGAAGCAUCUGAAGAAUUGUCGGAGUCCGAAUUGUCUUCAUUUUCUUCUUGCAGUUCUUUCAUGAGGAUUUUGGCUAGAGCCUUAAGCUUUGAAGUCUUCUUCUUCUUCUUCGAAUCGCUUGAAGAUCUGGAUGAUUUGGCCUUGCCUUUGAGUGAGGAAGAGGGGCUAAUGUCCGAUAAUGAUUCGAUUUCUUCCUUGGUUGGUUCAUGUAAAGCCUCUGCUGGUUGAGCUGCGACUGCAAGUACAGGGGGUGCUUCCUUGGGGAAAUCUCUGAGUAUUACUUCAAUAAUCUUCUGAUGGUUGAAUUUGUCCCACCAUUUGAUCAUUCUUUGACGGAAGACUUGAUUGGAUUCAAUCUCGUAAUUCCAGCGGAGGAUCCAAGGGACCUUGUAUUUUGCCAUGAAUAAGGCGAACAGAGGGAUUCCUUCAUCAAAUCGUGCUCUAUCGAAUUUCUUCUGGAAUGUGUCUGAUAAGACUUGUUUAAAUUCAUCCGGCAUGAGGUCGGAGAUCAGACCAUGAUCUGACCACCAUCUGGGGAACCAUGCGGGAAAAUUCAAUCUGAAACUUCGGUCAAAGGUUAUAAACCAUGAAUGACUAAAAUCUUCUGAUUGGUGUAAGAAAAUAUUAGUCCAGGCUUGAAUGUAAUCAAAAUAAUUAUAAUGGUUCGAGUGGCUGGGGAAGGUAUUACUUCUAAAUGGUUUAGGUUGAAAGAGAGGUAUUCCCCAUUCUGAUUCUAUCAUGAAUUUAUUAAUAGUAAGGGAAUGGUACAGGAUUUUGUGGUGGUUACCAGGGGUUUUAUCAAAGAUAGGUUUUAUGGUGACAGAUGAAGUUUCAUUGAGUAUAGUGGUAUAAUAUUUGAGGGUUUUGUGGAAUUCACUUGGCUGGAAGUGGGAGUUGGUUGGAAACAUCUUUUUGGCUAUGACCUCAGGUGUUUUCAAAUUUUUGUAGGUUAAGGGGAUACUGAAAAGAUAUUCUUUGGAAGGUUUAAUAACAUAAGGAGAUGUUUUGGUAUAGCUUACAGAGGGAGAUGGCGAUUGCCUAUAGGUAGAAGAGAAAGGAUCAUACUGGUUUACUAACGCUGUUUGGUAAUUUGGUCGGAUACUUCCUAUAGUUGAUCCUAAUGGAGUAAAUCUGUUGGUGAUGGCUAAGGCCGAGGAACCGGGAAUAGGUUCCUGUUUUGGUGGUGGUAGUGAGGCAGGAAGCCUCCUUUGUUGGCUACUGCCGUGUGGAGAAGUGGUGUAUAUAUGAAACCACAACUUUUUAAUAAUUUCUUAUUCAUAUAUAUAUUUUUAGACUAUAUUUUGUAGACCAUAAUUUUAUAUCAGCGAGUUUUGGAACCUUUGUCCACAACAUGCAUGAAUAAUUUGCACAGAAAGAUGCACUAGAAAGACGGUACGAACAGAGUCACAUCCUAAAAUGCACCAAUGCAAAUAACACACAUUUCACCAGAGUAAAUCCUAAUCACAAAUCAAUACAGGCAUCUCUAAAGAAUUUAAAUGACCGAGAUGAGGGAACCGAGCUGAUAAAUAUUUAAAUAACCAAGAGAUGGGUGAACCCCAGGAAGAAAAGUAUGCUACCUUUUACUAUAAUUGGAACGAAUUUAAAAAUAUCUCACCAUCACACUACCCAGAACUACAACUCUUAAGGAGAAUGUGAGAAUUAGAGGGGUAUUCUCCAGAUGAUUCUCAGAACAUCCUUUUACAAUUUUUCACCUAAUAUCUCCUAUGUAUGAUUAUAGGCCAAUAACGAAAGGAAAUACAGUCUAAAACACUCUUUAAAUUGUUCCAACAAUAGGAUAAUAGGAUUCACUAAAUCAUUAGAGAUUGCAACAAUGAGAGAGUAUAUAAGCUCACCAAUGUUCCCUUCUACACGUAGAACAAAAUAUCUGCAAAACAAAUAACAUUCAGUCACCGUAGAUACAAAUCAAAAUCUACACGCAAAACUUAAUGUAAAGGAAUCUUAUUGAGAGUAAUGUAGGCGCAUGACGUUUUAACAUGAAGAGUUCAAUAAAGAUACGCUCCAAUUUAGUGAGAAUUAGGAUAAACCUGCAACUAUCAGUUACAGGUUCCACCGGAUGAAGGUGUGCGAGCAUAUAGUUCACCUGCAAGGAUACAUCAGACCAUCCUUCAAUCUAACUGACAACAAACCUACUCUCUCACUUCUCUUUCUGUCUGAAUUCCUUUCAAAUGACAGACAAAUACAACCACCAUACAUGAAAUCACAUUUUCGCUUCUCCCAAGCACUAAAGCUGAAAAACAAACUAGACUUCCAAAAUCAAAAUAAUUGAUUUUACCAAAAGAACAAAAAUAGAAAUGAAAGCAAAGGGAAUAACCUCAAUCAUAAAUGGAUGUAAAGAACUCAAUUCAGUGAAUUCAUUAAUCUUCUAUCCUUUUUUCCCUCGAUUUUCUCGGAAACCAAACAGAAAAUGAGAAAUGAGUUAAAUGCUAUUCAAAAGGGAGAAAAGCACGAAUGACCUAUCACUCAAUUUCUAAUAUCAAACAAACAAAAUUAAUCCAAACCCAAAACAACAUUAAACGUUAAUAUUCAAACUUUACUGCCUUUUACCUCUCUGAAUUGACUCUCAAACCAAACACAAAAACUAAGCUUAGUAAAAAAAUUAUCCAUUUUUAAAAUCACUUGUCAAUUCAACAUAAAAAUAAAAAAUAAAAAAAUAAAAAGGAACAGAAACAGUCCCAAUUACUCCACGACAUUGCGCUUUUUUUGGUCUAAUAAUGCUGCAUACAUGGAAAACUUAAAGCUCAAAGUAGACAUCCAAGAAAAUUAAAUCCUUCUGCAAGGGAUACAACUAUUAACAAAGAUUUGGGAAAUUUCAAUUUUCUGAAUGAAGCAUCUCUUCUCAAUGACAAACUCAGAUAUUGGAAAUAAAAAAUAAUAUUACUAUAGGCAAAGAAAAAAGAAGAAAAAUGAAAGCCAAUAUUAUAGGUGGUCCGUGGAAAUGAUAGAUUACACUGCGAUAAAUCUCCGAAUUGCUCAUUGUCCACCAUCCCCAACUCAAACUCAAAUAGAGAGAGGCACCACAUGGGUUAGAAAUUUAAUAUUAGCGUUCAACUGAACUUCUAGAAUCCCCUAAAAAAAUCCUAUUUUGCUAAAGAUACCCGAAACAGUGUUACAAAGCAAUCCAAAACCCAAUCAAAUUAAAAUCCCUAAUAUCAAAUUUAAGAAUCCCAAUUAAACAAAAAAUAACCUAAUUAAUUAGAUAUCCCUGCGAGUACUAUUCUCUCUGUCCCAAUCAACCAAGUUCUCCAUUUCAAACUUCCCAUCAAAUAUUUGACAGCAAUACAACCAAUAACAAAAAUAAAAAUUUAAACCAAUCCAAACACUAAAACCCUUUUAAUUUUCCAUGUGCAUUCAAUGAUUUGGUUCCUAUAAAAAUAGGAAAUAUGGAAUAAUUAUUUGGAGAUAGAAUCACAUAUAGAGCUAGCAGAGGAAGCAAGGAAGAUAUGCAAAAGCAAAUUACGAGAUCAUCAUAUUACAAAAGCUACAUAAGCAAAUUAAGAGAUCCUCAUAUUUGGAGACAGACACAAAUAUAAAGCUGCAAAAACAAAUUAUUAUUGCCGACAAAAUACUUACUGAAAAAAAAAAAUCCCGUUUUUGAGUAAUAUAACCCAAACUCAUCUUAUACAGCAAAGGAGCAUAGGACUGAGAAAUCAGAGCCUAAUUUCCAGUAUCAGAAGAGUAUGAAUUAUUCAACUUAACCGCUAAUUUCGUUAACGAAGAUUAAAAUAGGCUCGAAAUCCAUACAAUUUAUACGUUACCAUUUAUUCAAGUUCUAGUAAGGUGUGUGACGACGAUGAGAAGGCGAGAUGUGCAACUGAGAUCAAAUAUACCUGCCAUCAACCAAAACCCAAUGCAAGCAAAACCCAUAAGAAAAACCUAUCAACUAAAACCCAGCGCAAGGUAAAUCAUCAACCAUAACUAAUAAUUUAUCAAUUGCAGUAAUUAGGUCAAACCCACAUUGACAUUUCACCCACAAAAGUUAAAAAAGAAAAGUUACCUUGCACUAGGCGGCCUCCCGGGCACUUCAUUGGUUGGUGGAAAUACCAACGGAGAUGAGAAGUCGGGGUGAACGACGGAGAUCGCAAAGUAGGGGAUUGAAGAGUUCACAAAGCAGGGAUUGAAGAGAUAAUGAAACAGAUAUGGAAGAGAUGGUCAAUCGCGUGUAAAGGUAGCCGUUGGAUAAAAUUUGAACGGCCCGAUGGGCCUAAUCAGGAGGAUCCUGAUCCCAAGCCACCAACAUUUUGUUUGAAUAAGAAAAUUAAUUUUAUAUUUCGGUUUAUUUUUGUUGCAAUUUUUUAUUUUUUAAUUUGAGGGCAUAAUGGGAAGUUUAGAGAAAAUAGUUUUGAUGUUGGGUGUGGAAAGAUGAUUCUGAGCAGACCUGCUCGCUGAUCAAUAGAUGGAAGGAAGCACGCUAGAUGACUGCUGAAAGAAACCUUUUCACGUACAGUAGUGGUAAUCCAGCUCAAUGUGGUGAAUUUGGGCAUGUUAAACGGGGUUCUAAGCCAUGUACGUCGUGUUGUAAAUUGUACAACAUCGCCGAGAUCAUAUAGAGGGUAAAAGAGCUAAGACAUCUCUGCACAGGCAUGAACCAACGAGGGAUACUCUGACUUUGCGCUCACUUUGGAAACUGUAGUUUGCUUCUAAGAUCACCCAAGAUAUCAAGUUGGUUCUUCAUUCCCUUGUUUUCCUCACUAAGAUUACUAGAGAAGAAUAGGGACUGUUAUUGGUUCUAAUGAAACCAUAUUGCAAUAAUUCCUUCACAUAUUUAUCAAUUUCUGAUUUCUGUACUGGACCAUACCUAUAUGGUCUACUGUUAGGUGGUUUGCUGCCUUCCAAUAAUGGAAUUUAAUGAUGUUGAGAUCUAUGAGGAGGUAGUGUAGUAGGAGUGAUGAAAACCAUUUCAUAAUCUUCCAGUAGUUGCUUCAAUUGUUGUUGUUGAUCUUUAGAAAGGUGGUCUCCUUGUUGAUCGAUUGUUGUAAGUUCUAUAUGUUGAAUAGACACAUCCGCUGACUCGAUAUGACACAAAAUAGCUCCCAUAGUUGUUUCUUGCUGCACAAGUCUGGACAUUUGCAAGGCUGAGAUAUCCUCUAAUUGCUCCAAAGGUGACUCUGAACUAGCAAUGUAGUAUGUUGAAGACCCUUUUUGGAACUUCAUAUAUAGCUUAUCAAAAUCCCACAAGAUUGGUCCUAAGGUUCUGAGUCAUUGUACUUCGAGCACUACAUCACAUCCUACCAUUGAAAUUGCUUAUAAAUCUGUUACACACUCAUAAUCUUGAAUCUUGACAGGUACUUGAGCCAAUGUGCCUUGAGUAGACACUUUACCCUCAUCAUUUAUUUUGACAUUCAAAGUAUGCCCUGUAUCCAAGUUUCCAUUCAAUCUUUUAACCAACCCAAAAUCCACAAAGUUAUGGGAACUGCUUGAAUCAACCAAGAUAGUUACAGGACAUUGUUUAAUAAAACCAGCAACUCUCAUUGUUUUGAUAGAUGGUGGUACAGGGUACCAAACAAAGCACAAGCUGUAAUCUCCAAUUCUUCAUUUUCUAACACUGCAGGAUCACCAUUUUCAUCUUCUUGCACAUCAAUCAACAGAAAAUUGCUUCUUUUCAUAACUAGGACCUCUAUAGCUUCUUUUCACAUCAAUUGAUUCUUUCUUGAAACUGGGGAUCAUCAAGCAUAGCUUCAAAAGUGUCACCCAUAGAACCUUAAAGUGUGCCAUGAGUGAUUGAAAUUGAUGAAGAAUCAAAUCCUGGGUUGAUCUAAGUUCAUCUGCGAAGUCUUGAAAUCGACUUUGCCCCAAAGUGGAAACUCUUGAUUCCAUGUUAUUCCGUGAAGCUUGCCGCAUCAUACAAUAGGGAAGGAUUGAGAGAAUCAAAACUGGCUGAUACCAAUAUUAGAACCUUACUCCACUUCUUCCUUGAUUGCACAGAGAGAAUACUAACAAUUGCUCAUAUAUUUCAUAAUCGUCUUGCCAUCUCUUACAAACCACCAUUUAACAACCAAACUCCUAAUUCCAAGUACACUUGUCACUAUCUUAUUGUGCCAUCUGGUAUGGUAUCCUAACAGAGAGCAAAAGGUAGACCAGCGAAAGUCUAGGCAGGCAGCCCGAUCUCCGUCAGAGUAUGCAAGAGGCUCGUAGGGAAGGGUUGAGCAGCGAUAAGGAUUCCCAAAAAUGAACUUUCGAGUGUGCUUAUUGUGACAUGCAAUGAGAUAGAGAGUGAGAAAUUAGGGUUUGUUGGCAAAAGUUUGGCCGCGAUGACUCCCUGCGUCCUUGGACCUUGGUGGCGGCGCCGCAGAUUACAAAUAGCAUGUAAGAGAAAGUAAACAACAAAGAAAAAACAGAGAGAAUAGAGAAAAAAAUUGGGUGUUGAAUCGGCUCGGCUAAGUUUCGUAUUUUGUUUUAUUAAGUUGACUAAAAUUUGCAAAGAUUGUUUCUUUUAGAAUUCUAGUUUUCUAGAAAUUGGGUUCAACGAUUGGGAUUUUGGUUUUUUGGAGAAAGGAUGAUUUGUGGUCUCCUCCUUGAUUCAAAUUGCAGAUCUCGUUGUGAGAGUUCAUUUUUAAUUCCGGUUUGUUGGUCCAAUAAUUUGGGAUCUCACAAGUUCUUAGUUUUUUUUUUUUCCCAAUAUUGCACAUCUCAUCAUACGAUCUCAGAAUUUUCUGCACUCAGGACUGUCGAAUGACGAUUUGGUUAGAAUAAAUAUACAUUAUAUGUACACGACAUGCACCCAAAAACCUGGAGCUCAAAGCUCUCUCUCUCGACAUCCCUAUCUUCGAAAUCAGAAAAAUACGUCAUCAGCGGUGAAUUUUUACAAUUUAUAUGUGAGUAUUUUCGUCAUUUUACUUUUGUACAUGAUAUGCAUGGCUUGUGCACUGCCGAUUAGUCCGAUUUUUAUUCAAAGAUUACAAAAUAAGUCAUUUAUGUCCAUUUCGCUACAAAUAUUAGGUGGCGGACAUUAAGUGAAAAAUUUGGGGGAAAAAGUUGGCAGAAAAUAAUUAGGUGAUAAAAUCUUGCGAAAAUUAGAUGACAAAAACGAGAAGCAACAAUGUGGUAGAACAACGGCACGCGAAGCCUCGAGCCCAACGGCACUCGAAGCCUCGGGCCCAAUGAACCUACGCUGAUUGGGGUACUAUUGUACUACUUUUGUAUUUAUCUAACCAUGGUUCGGUUACUAUAUUAUACUACUUUGUAUUUAUUUAAUCAUACACUAGAAUAAUUCACUGAAAUUAAAAUUUUGGAUGAUAAAAUGAAGGUUGAGGUUGAGAAGGGAAAGUGAUAAAGGGAAGCUGCAGACCACACCUGCUUUGUAGGAAGCAACACCACACACUCCUUUUUCAUUUGUUUUCUUCUUACUAGCCUUCAUGCACGCGCAUGAGCAUGUGAAGAAGACAUUUUUUUUUUAAAUUACGGCGUGUUACGCAUGACUUACACGUUUUAAAUAUAUUUAUAUGCGUAAAUUGACAAAAGAAAAGUCAAAUAUUUGAAAUAAAUGAAUAAUUUAGAUUAUGCUAGAAGAAAUCCCUCAUAAACCAAUUAAAGCAGUUGAAUUCACAUAAUAAAAUUGAUCCCUAUAGAAUUUGCAUUAAGAAUAGAGAAAAUAAUAUUUAAUGAACAAUUGAUUGAAUUACAUUAUUGCUAGUCCAUUGUGAGGCUAAGCCCACCCCCACCCCCUUAGUGUAGAUGAUAUUGUUAAAAAAAACAAUCAUUUGACAACUAAUUUAAUCACAUUAUUAUCCGUGUGCGAAAGACAUUUUUUAUAACCAGUAUAACAUGCCUCUUAAGAAGUUUUGAACGUGUUUAAAAAUAGAGAAAAUAAUAUUUAAUAAACAACUGAUUGAAUCACAUUAUUGCUAGCCUAUUACUAAUUUAAUGUAAUUUAAUCACAUUAUUAUCCGUGUGCGAAAUACCUUUUUUUAUAACCAGCAUUACACACCUCUUAAGAUGUUUUAAACGUGUUUAAAAAUAGAGAAAAUAAUAUUUAAUAAACAACUGAUUGAAUUACAUUAUUGCUAGCCCAUUGUGAGACUAAGCUCACCCCUCCCCCUGAGUGUAGAUAAUAUCGUUUGUUAAAAAAAAAAAAGAAUAAUCAUUUGACAACUAAUUUAAUUACAUUAUUAUCUGCGUGCGAAAAACUUUUUUUAUAACCGGCAUUACACGCUUCUUAAGAUGUUUUGAACAUGCUUAAAAUAGAGAAAAUAAUAUUUAAUAAACAACUGAUUGAAUCACAUUAUUGCUAGCCUAUUAUGAGGCUAAGCCCACCCCCUCCCCCUUAGUGUAGAUAAUAUCGUUUGUUAGAAAAAAGCAAUCAUUUGAUAACUAAUUUAAUUACAUAAUUAUUCGCAUGUAAAUGACUUUUUUUAUAACCGGCAUUAUACAUCUCUUAAGAUAUUUUGAACAUGUUUAAAAAUAGAGAAAUUGAAUCACAUUAUUGCUAAUCUAUUGUGAUGUACUAAUUAAAAAAAACCACAAAAAGAUUAAUUAUUAAAAAAAUACUGUUAAAAUGAUGAAAAUGCCCUUGCCUUAUUUGAUGCAUUAUUUUAGGAUGCCUUUAGAGUUUUUUUUGUCUUGGUGGCAAUUUUGUCUAAAUAUUUUUGUUGAAGUUUGGUAACACCAAAAUCACUAUUAACCUUUAUAUAUAGAUACUUUGAAGGGAAGUAAGAUGAUCACGUUAUGCACAUAUAAUAUAAUAGCUUGGGUUUGGAAUACAACUUGCCAACCGUUCUUCCUCUCGCAAGAAGGAAAAGCCAUGGCAGUCCUUGAGCUCCUCUCCCUCUUCUCUAUUCUCUUCAUCAUCUCUCUUCUUCUGCGACCCUCUUUGCCUCCAAAUCCCAAACCCUACUCCCUCCAAGCCCCGUUGCCCUACCCAUCCUCGGCCACUUCCACCUCCUAAGCCCUCUCAUCCACCAAACUUUCUACAAACUCUCCCUCCGGUUUGGUCCUUUAUUCUCUCUUCGCCUUGGCUCCGUCCCAUGCGUCGUCAUUUCGUCACCAGACCUCGCGAAAGAUUUCCUCAAGACCCACGAGCACUCUUUCACAUCCCGUUCUCAGUCCAUUGCGAUUGAGCCCCUCAGCUACAACUCCUCCUUUUCAUUUGGACCCUAUGGACCUUAUCAUAAAUUCAUCAAGAAGCUCAGCACGAAUGAGUUUCUAAGCAGCCGUAGCGUCAGCAACUUUGCUUCAAUUCGAACCCAAGAGUACCUUAGGUUUUUGAGGUUGUUGGCCAAGAAAGCUGAGAGCGGUGAAGCUGUUAAUCUAACCGAGGAGUUACCAAAGCUUUCCAACAAUGUGAUCGCAAAAAUGAUGUUGGGGAAUUCUAAGGGGUCUAGUGCUGAAGGCAGAGACGAGGAGGCUAGGCUUGUGGUGAGAGAGGUAACCAGGAUUAUUGGGGAGUUUAACUGUCAGAUUUUGUUUGGUUUUGCAAGAAGUUGGAUUUUCAGGGAUUUGGGAAGAGAAUUGAAGACAUUCGUAGGAGAUUCGACGCGUUGGUGGAGAAGGUUAUUUCAGAACGUGAACAACUGAGAAAGAAAAACAUGAAAAAUGGAGGAGGUAGUGGUGGCGAGGAGGUGAAGGAUUUUCUUGACAUUUUGCUUGAUAUACUGGAAAAAGGGAGUGCUGAGAGUGAGGAGGUGGAAUCUAAAAGAGUGCACAUCAAGGUUUUAAUCAUUGUACGUAAAAAUUCUUUUUCGUAUGACUUUCAGUUUGUACCGGAUCUUGAACGCCUGGCAAUGAUGGAUUCAAACUCUCUCUCUCUAUAUAUAUGUCUUCCCCUUUUCUAUCAUGCAUCCGUACCGGUUCUUAUCAAGAACAAUUGCACAGAGACGAGGCCUCGUCAUUUUGCUCACAAGGUCUCCUUCCUCCGGCUGCUCUCCGAUGACUGUGUCGUUGAAAUCAAGGAAGUUGGCACGAAAUGUUCAAGUCCGGAAUAGUGGGUAGGAGGAAUCUGAUGCACAAUUGCAAUUUUACUCGGGCAAUUGGAUAUUUCUUGGUGUCAUUGAGUGUUCUUUGGUCUCUUUGCCAACAAAAAUGGUUUUAUCACAUUUUAAUUUCUAGGCGUUAAGAAUUCUCUUUUAUUACUUUUUAAUUUUUAGAAUAUUGUUUUGUUUAGGUCUUCAAGGUCAUUUUGCAUGAAGUUAAUUUUGUCAAUAUAAAAAUUUUUCAUAUUAAAGUGGGUGAGGAAAUAAGAGAAUGGGACGUACGUAGACAUAACACCAAAGCUUAAUUUUUUUCAUAACGCCUUAGUGCCUUUUCCUAUUAUUUAGAGCUAUAUAUAACAGAUUGGUUACUUAACAUUAAAGGGCUUUUAUGAGAAUAAUGAAAUUGGAUUUUUCAGGAAUUCUUCACGGCAGGUACAGAUACAACCGCCAUUUCAAUGGAGUGGGCACUAGCAGAUCUCAUCAACCACCCGAAGGAGCUGGAGAAAGCAAGGGAGGAGAUUGAUCGAGUCGCUGGGAAAAGACGGCUAGUCGUAGAAUCAGACGGUCCAAACCUUCCAUACAUACAAGCCAUUAUAAAAGAAACACUGAGACUGCACCCCUCUGUCCCUAUGAUCCCAAGAAAGAGUGUACAAAAGUGUAACAUUGGGAACUAUGUGAUACCGGAAAACACAAUGCUAUUUGUGAAUGCUUGGGCCAUCGGAAGGGACCCAAAGUAUUGGGAAAAUCCUUUGCACUUUUACCCUGAAAGAUUCUUAGCACCACUCAGUGGUGGAGGAGAUGGAGCGCGUGCAUUAGAUCUUAGGGGGCAACAUUUUCAGCUGCUUCCGUUUGGGACUGGGAGGAGGAUAUGCCCUGGUAUAAACCUAGCCCUGCAAAUGCUGCCAGCUCUACUUGGUGCAAUGGUUCAAUGCUUUGAUUGGAAAGUUGUUGGGGUAAAUCAGAAGCAUAUGAACGGUGAUGAUCGUGUUCUGGAAAUGGAUGAACGGCCAGGAAUGGCAACUCCACGAGCCCAUGAUUUGAUUUGUAUUCCAGUGGUACGUUUUGAAGACUUUGAUCCAAAUGAAGUUUGAGGACUUGAAGUGGGUGUCAAACUUACAUGGAAAUGGAUAAAUAACACUACGUUAUUUCUAUUCCUAUUUAAGUUUUCUUUUUUGAAGUAGUUUUAUGAUUAAGGCUUACUUAAGCCUCAUGUACAUUACAUGAAGUCUCACUUUAUUUCUACAGUUUGUCAUGUCCCACUUUGUUUCCUGCACUUAUCCAUUGUGUUUCACUUUACUCCGUUUCUUUAAUUGGGUUAAAGAGACGUUAGUUUCGUUGAUUUGACAAAGGCUCUUUGAUUUUUUUUCAGUCAAUUUUUACAUUUGGAACAUCUUAAACCACAAAAAUUACCCUAUGUGAUUCUCAAAUUUCCUUCUUAGCAACCCUAAACAAUAUUAUCCCUAAAACUCACAAUUUCUUCAAUCUAUCACUAUAUUCACAGUUGAAAAGAUCGAAGGACCCCUACCAUAUUAAUGAAAUUGAUGCUCAACCCAAUCGACGGAAUGGGGCACCGUGUGACACGAAAAAUAAUUACAAAGGAUAAAGUGAGACAGAAUCAAAUGUAUGUUGUGAAGCGAAAUUUUGUCUAGAGUAUAUAGGGGUACCAAAAAAUAAGCUUUAAUAGUAAAAUUAGUUAUGUAAUAAGGGUAUACAAGGAAAAAUCACAUAGGGUGACAUGUUACAAUGAGAGAGCUAUAGCUAAAGGAUAUUGUUUGGCUCCGUAUAAUUACAUGUAUCAUACUCGAAAUCAUUCAUUCUUUUAAUAAUUAUCUGAAGAUAAUCUAAAAAGACAAUUAUUUUGGUUUGAAGUCCAUUUAGUCAUAUAUAUAUAUAUAUAACCACAACUUUUUAAUAAUUUUUUAUUCAUGUAUAUUUUUUAGACUAUAUUUUGUAGACCAUAAUUUUAGAUCAGCGGGUUUUGGAACCUUUGUCCACAACAUGCAUGAAUAAUUUGCACAAAGAUGCACUACAAAGAUGGUACGAACGGAGUCACACCCUAAAAUGUACCAAUGCAAAUAACACACAUUUCACCAUAGUAAAUCCAACAAAAUCACAAAUCAAUACAUGCAUCUCUAAAGAAUUUAAAUGACCGAGAGAUAAGGGAACCGAGCUAAUAAAUAUUUAAAUAACGAAGAGAUGGGUGAACCACGGGAAGAAAAGUAUGCUACCUUUUACUAUAAUUGGAACAAAUUUAAAAAUAUCUCACCAUCACACUGCCCAGAACUACGACUCUUAAGGAGAAGCUGAGAAUUAAAGAGGUAUUCUCCAGAUGAUUCUCAGAACAUCCUUUUACAAUUUUUCACCCAAUAUCUCCUAUGUAUGAUUAUAGGCCAAUAACGAAAGGAAAUACAGGCUAAAACACUCUUUAAAUUGUUCCAACAAUAGGGUAAUAGGAUUCACUAAAUCAUUAGAGAUUGCAACAAUGAGAGAGUAUAUAAGCUCACCAAUGUUCCCCUCUACACGUAGAACAAAAUAUCUGCAAAACAAAUAACAAUCAGUCAUUGUAGAUACAAAUCAAAAUCUACACGUAAAACUUAAUGUAAAGGAAUCUUAUUGAGAGUGAUGUAGGCGCAUGACGUUUUAACAUGAGGAAUCCAAUAAAGAUACGCUCCAGUUUAGUGAGAAUUAGGAUAAACCUGCAGCUAUCAGUUACAGGUUUCCAGUAGAUGAGGGUGCGCGAGCAUAUAGUUCACCUGCAAGGAUACAACAGACCAUCCUUCAAUCUCACUGACAACAAACGUACCCUUUCCCCUCUCUGUCUAUCUGAAUUCCUUUCAAAUGAUAGACAAAUACAACCACCAUACAUGAAAUCACAUUUUCACUUCUCCCAAGCACUAAAGCUGAAAAACAAAGUAGACUUCCAAAAUCAAAAUAGUUGAUUUUACCAAACGAACAAAAACAGAAAUGAAAACAAAGGGAAUAACUUCAAUCAUAAAUGGACUUAAAGAACUCAAUUCAGUGUAUUCAUUAAUCUUCUAUCCUUUUUUCCCUCGAUUUUCUCGGAAACCAAACAGAAAAUGAGAAAUGAGUUAAACGCUAUUCAAAAGGGAGAAAAGUGCGAAUUCCCUAUCACUCAAUUUCUCAUAUCAAACAAACAAAAUUAAUCCAGACCCAAAACAACAUUAAACGUCAAUGUUUAAACUUUACUGCCUUUUAGCUCUCUGAAUUGACUCUCAAACCAAACACAGAAACUAAACCCAGUAAAAGAAUUAUCCAUUUUUUAAAAUCACUUGUCAAUUCAACAUGAAAAAAAAAAAAGGGAACAGAAACAGUCCUAAUUACUCCACGACACUGCGCUUUUUUUGGUCUAGUAAUGCUGCAUACAUGUAAAACUUAAAGCUCAAAAGUAGACAUCCAAGAAAAUUAAAUCCUUCUGCAAGGGAUACAACUAUUAACAAAGAUUUGGGAAAUUUCAAUUUUCUGAAUGAAGCAUCUUUUCUGAAUGACAAACUCAGAUCUUGGAAAUAAACAAUAAUAUUACUAUAGGCAAAGAAAAAAGAAGAAAAAUGAAAGCCGGUAUUAUAGGUGGUCCGUGGAAAUGACAAAUUGCACUGCUAUAAAUCUCCGAAUUGCUCAUUGUCCACCAUCCCCAACUCAAACUCAAAUAGAGAGAGGCACCACAUGGGUUAGAAAUUUAAUAUUAGCGUUCAACUGAACUUCUAGAAUCCCCCAAAAAAAAAAAUCCUAUUUUGCUAAAGAUACCCGAAACAGUGUUACAAAGCAAUCCAAAACCCAAUCAAAUUAAAAUCCCUAAUAUCAAAUUUAAGAAUCCCAAUUAAACAAAAACUGACCUAAUUAAUUGGAUAUCCUCGAUAGUACUAUUCUCUUUGUUCCAAUCAACCAAGUUCUCCAUUUCAAACUUCCCAUCAAAUAUUUGACAGCAAUACAACCAAUAACAAUAAAAAAUUUAAACCAAUCCAAACACUAAAACCCUUUUAAUUUUCCAUGUGUAUUCAAUGAUUUGGUUCCUAUAAAAAUAGGAAAUAUGAAAUAAUUAUUUGGAGAUAGAAUCACAUACAGAGCUAGCAGAGGAAGCAAGGAAGAUAUGCAAAAGCAAAUUACGAGCUCAUCAUAUUACAAAAGCUACAUAAGCAAAUUAAGAGAUCCUCAUAUUUGGAGACAAACACACAUAUAAAGCUGCAAAAACAAAUUAUUAUUGCCGACAAAAUACUUACUGAAAAAAAAAAAUCUCGUUUCUGAGUAAUAUAACCCAAACUCAUCUUAUACAGCAAUGAAGCAUAGGACUGAGAAAUUAGAGCCUAAUUUCCAGUAUCAGAAGAGUAUGAAUUAUUCAACUUAACCGCUAAUUUCGUUAACGAAGAAUAAAAUAGGCGCGAAAUCCAUACAAUUUAUACGUUACCAUUUAUUCAAGUUCUGGUAAGGUGUGCGACGGCGAUGAGAAGGCAAGAUGUGCAACGGAGAUCAAAUAUACAUGCCAACAACCAAAACCAAAUGCAAGCAAAACCCAUAAGAAAAACCCAUCAAUUAAAACCUAGCGCAAGGUAAAUCAUCAACCAAAACUAAUAAUUUAUCAAUUGCAGUAAUUAGGUUAAGCCCACAUUGACAUUUUACCCAGAAAAGUUACCUUACACUGGGCGGCCUCCCGGGCAUUUCAUGUUCAAACUCCGGGCACUUCAUUGGUUGGUGGAAAUACCAACGGAGAUGAUAAGGAGGGGUGAACGACGGAGAUCGCAAAGCAAGGAUUGAAGAGGUAACGAAACAGAGAUGGUCAAUCGCGUUGCACCUCAACCUACACCUCUCUCUCUAUAGCCUUCCCCUCAACCUCACCACCCUGGACAACCAUACCUCCCCCCUCUCUCUCUGUAGCAAACUCGCGUCCCUAUCCCAGAACCUUACCCCAAAUCGAUCACGACCGCACCCACCCUCUCACCUUCUCUCCCUGUAAUCCCGCACCCAAACGGCACUCUGUCCACCUGGAACCCCUCCCAUCAACCCUUUCUCUACCUGCAACUAGGCCUGGCAAACGGGUCGUGUUUGUCGUGUUCGUAUCGUUUUCGUGUAACACUUGUUAUUUUAACGGGUCGUAUCGUGUCACACCCGUUAUUACCCGUUAAGAAAAAUAUAAUUUUUUUCUUAAAUUUGCACAUACCACACAUUGCCACAUAAAUAUUAUUUCAAAACAUUAAAACACAUUUUUCGUUUAAGUACUACAUCUACACUCGAAAAUAAGAGCCUAAUAAACAAACAUCCAUACACUACUAGUCUAUUACAAAAUAUUAAAUGUGCAAGGAUAUGCAAAAUGAAAGAGUUUUUGUUUUCAAGGUUGUGAAGCCUUUCUUAAAAGUUUAAAUCUUACCAAUGGAACUCAAAGCUUUCAUUUUAUUCCCUUUACAAAAUCCUCAAUUUUCAUCGAUCAUCAAGACAUAAAAUUUUGUGGUAUCCACUUCUGUAAAUAUUUUAAACUGACGAUUAAAUUAGUUCAUUGAAUUCAUAUAUGACCAAGGAGUGUAGUUGUAAAAAAUCAUCAAAAUCGGAGUUAAAAUAACCGUUAAAUUGUGAUUUUUCGUUUAUAACCGUCGAAAAGUUUUGUCCCGUUACUUGAUCUCUUAAUGUUUGUUUUUUGCAAUUUUUGGCAUAUACGAUCUUGAAGUAUAUACAAACAUGUUUGACGGGUUGGAUUGCUGAAACUAGUUUCGUAGAAUGCGUAUCCCAUCAAAACAAUAGAUUCACUAACACUUAAGAGUUUAUUCAUACUUUCAUUAAGUAUAACAUAAGAUUUUGUGGUAUCCACUAGUGUAAAUAUUUUAAAUUGAAGAUCGAGUUCAUUCACUGUAUUCAUAUAGGGUCAAGGAGUGUAGUUGUAAAAAAUCAUCAAAAUCGGAGUUAAAAUAACCGUUAAAUCGUGAUUUUUUGUUGAUAACUGUCGAAAAGUUUUGUCCCGGUACUUGAUCUCUGAAUGUUUGUUUUUUGCAAUUUUUGGCGUAUGCCAUCUUGAAGCAUAUACAAACAAGUUUGAUGAUUGGAUCGUUGAAAUUAGUUUUGUAGAAUGCGUAUCCCAUCAAAAUGAUGGAUUCACUAACACUUAAGAGUUUAUUUAUACUUUCAUUAAGUAUAACAUAAUAUUUUGUGGUAUCCACUAGUGUAAAUAUUUUAAAUUGAAGAUCAAGUUCAUUCAUUGUAUUCAUAUAGGGUCAAGGAGUGUAGCAGUAAAAAAUCAUCAAAAUUGAAGUUCAAAUAACCGUUAAAUCGUGAUUUUUUGUUGAUAACCGUCGAAAAGUUACUUGAUCUCUUAAUGUUUGUUUUUUACGAUUUUUGGUGUAUGGGAUCUUGAAGCAUAUACAAACAAGUUUGGUGGUUGGAUCAUUCAAAUUAGUUUCGUAGAAUGCGUAUGUAAACAUCGAAAUUUCGGUAAAUAAAUGUUGACCGAUAUAUCAAAGUUUCAACACUCAUGUAUUACAUGAAUUUUACACGUAGCGUGUGUCUAAACAAAAAAUCGAAAUAAGUUGGAAAAGUCAUCAAACAGGACACGUGUCAACACCUGGCAUAAAUGACUUAUUUCAUCUGGAAUGUUAUAUUCAAAAUUAGGCCUUGGAAAAUUCUAUAAAUAGAAGCCAAUUUCAUUCAUUUCAUGGGACCAAUUCCUAUUACACCAAAACCUUGAAGCUCUGAAGCUCUGAAACUCUGAAGCUCUCAAGCAUCCAAGUUCCCGAAUAAUCAAGAAAGCCUUCUUCGUUCUUCGUUCAUCGUUCUUCCAAGAUCAAGCCCCGACGGCCCUUGGAUCAACAAUCAUCCACCUUCAAGAUCAAGCCCCGACGGCCCCUUUGAAGAACUUCCACCAAUUCAAGAUCAAGCCCCGACGGCCUUUGAAGAAAGUGUUCAUCAUUCAUCAUCCGUUCAUCUUAAGAUCAAGCCCCAACGACCCUUUGGAUCAACAACGUCGACAAAUCCACACAUCCAACCGUCCUUUAAGAUCAAAGCCCAAAAGCCCUUGAAGUUCCGUUCAUCACCGUUAUUCAAGAUCAAGCCUUAACUGCCCUUGAAGAAACGCUCAUCCUCAAGAUCAAGCCCCAACGGCUCCUUGAAGAUCCGCUCAAAUCCACCUUCAAGAUCAAGCCCACGGCCUUUGAAGAACGUUCAUCCUUAGAUCAAGCCCAACGGCCCUUUGGAUCAAUCAUACAUCCACAAAUCAACACCUUACGGAGAUCGAAUCAGAGGAUCAAAUUUGAGAAAGAUUGUAACCCAAAAUCAUCAAAUACAAAUAUUAUUUUGUGCACGUUGUUCUUGUCUCUUUCCUUUCAGGAAAUUUUCGUGUUCACAAAUUUGGCACGCCUGGUGAGAUUAUCUUUACCUCUCAUCUCUUUCUCCGUUCAAGAAAUUUAAGCACACUUCCAAAAUCAAUGGCAUCAAAGAAGGCUCAAGCUGUUCCCAUAACCGGCACAAAGAACAAGAGCGUCAUCGUCAAGUGGUGUCACUUUGGGCAUCACGACUCGAAGCAAGGCAAGAGCUACUUCCGCCGCCUCUUUCACCUUUGCAUCAACUCUGCCAAGGGAACAAGAGCACCCAAGGCACGAGCUGUGAUCACCUUAGCCUUACUAAGGGCACCAAGGAGGAAAGCCCAAGGAAAUACUCCGAAUCCAUGCUCUCUAAUGCCGAUUCAAGCGACAGUUCAGCCAUCCAAGUCAUGACCACUGGAGCAACUUCAAUCGAUGAGCAGCAGGCUCAAAUGAAUGAAGCAAUUGCAAGGCUAACCCGAACUGUGGAAGAAAAAGACUUGCAAAUUGCAGCACUAGUCAACCGACUGGAAGCACAUGACGGCGAGAAACCCGACCCAGAGGAUGAUCCACUAAAGAGAGGAGCUGGCGGAGAAGAGGAGCCUCCAGUGAAGAAAAUCGAUGUGAAUCCGGAGCCAGACCAAGCAAUGGCACUCAUGGGAUCUCUUUCUAUCCAGCAGCUGCAAAAGAUGAUCACCAACACCAUCAAGGCACAGUACGAAGGGAGCUCUCAUGCCUCCACGUUGUACUCAAAGCCUUACUCCAGGAAGAUCGACGCCUUAAAAAUGUCGAGGGGCUAUCAACCAUCGAAGUUUAUCAAACCCGCACCAAGAUACAUAGUCAUAAUAAUUUACUUCGAAUUCGAUUUUGAAUAGAAUCGAACAUAAGACCUCUCACUUACAACUAAAUAGGAAUACUAAAAGACCGUAGUGCUAAGUGACACAAACAAGUAAACACUUAAAAUGCCGAUAUGGCAUGAAAAUUAAUAAAUGGCCUAAGACGCUCAUAUAUGUCAAGGCUUUGCAUUAUUGGAUCGAAACGCUAUGUGCCUACGUAAGUUGAUCGCUCGCUCAAAUUUGACUCGAUUAUUAAUCUCUUCAAAGCGAGACAUAUUGUGGACCCGAAGACACACUCCAUUAUUUGGUACAACCUCAACCUUACCACACAAUCCUGUGCUAUUUAAUAAGUUGCUCGUUUAACUUGGAAAAUAUUUUAUUUAAUUAAGAUUUGAUUUGAUUUGACUUUAGCUUUUCUUGUCUCGUGGAUAAAUGUUUGAUUUUAUUUAUUUUGUAAUAUUGCUUCUUUGUAAUUUUAUUAAAAUCUCGUUAUUGAGAAAAUAAAGUAUUGAAGUUGCAUUUAAGUUUGUAAGAUUAAUCAAGGAUUCCGAAGCAUUUAAGUUUGUGAGAUUAAUCGAGGAUUCUGAAAUUUACACUAAGCCCUUUAUUUUCAACUUCACUCAUUUCGUCGAUCUCUUCAAAAUUAGACAACAUAUUGUGGAACCAACUAAAAACAUACUCCGUCAUUCAGUACAACAUCAACUGUACCACACAAUCAAUUACAACAAACCCUAGACCCAGCAUCUCGGUGAACGUCCUCACAGAGACAGUACCCCUUUAUAUAUCCUUACCUUCUGUCUAUAAUGUCAAAAGCAACUGUAUAUUCCUUUCACUCUGAUCUAAUCUAAGAGCGGCGCAGCAGAUCACUAAGUUGAAUAAUUACUUAAAAUUAGUAUUUAGUUGCAAAAUCGGUUAUUCAAUACAAAGUCCACUGAUAAAAACUUAAAAAACUCUUUUUUUUUCUUUUUUUUUUUAUAAGAAACUACGAUUUCAUGAUUUAGAUUGAAUAUGUACAACAUUAAAAAUCUUGCCGGGAUUUCAACCCGGUCGAAGGAAAAUGAGCGUUCCGCAUCAAUACAACUUACAAUUAAUUUAUAUUCUCAACGAAAAGGUCUAAGAUUACAUAGAGAGGUUCCUCAAACCAAGUCACCAGAGAGUGUUGGGUUAAACCAACCUAGCCAAGCGAUGCACCACCUUGUCGAGGUCCGUCGUCCGUAAGACCUUAUUCAAGAUCUGUCUUGUAUCAUCAAGAAUAUGUCCGACUGGGGAAGAGUCCUUCCAACCUUGUGAGAUAGAGCACUAAUGACCAAAAGAACAUCACCUUCAAGUUCCAGCAGUGGGAACCUCUGCUGCUGUGCACUUAAAAAAACUCUUAACAGCCUUAAUUAAUCUGGACUCUAACAACCUUAAACUAAAUCCGAGAUGUCAUUCUUAUUGAUUUUUUGUUUGUUUGUUUGUUUUGUAUAUGUAUUGAUGAGAAACGGAAUUUCAUGAGAAAAAUAACAAAAAAUGACCAUAGCUCCCCAAUAAUCGAAAAUAAUAUACAGGUGAUGCCUGAGUUUUGGCUGCACUGCACCGGCAAAUCUGUGUGGAAACGAGAAUCCAUAGCAAAUCCUCUGGACAAGGAGCUUUCCUUGACAAUUCACGUGACUAUUUACUUACGUUUAGGAUUAGGUCAUCUCUAUGAAUGGAGGAAUAAAGCAACGUUGCUCGUACUAUGUGUUAGCAUUUCAAAACGUUUUUUCAAUGUAUGCAUACCUUGGGUUAUAAUAUUAUUUUUUUGUCAACGCCUGGGGUUAUAAUAUAUUUUGGUUUAGUUUUGGUUAUGCCUCCUGUUUUUUUUUUUUUUGACACUUAUGCCUCGUGUUGGUUAUUUUAAUUAUUUUAUUUUAUUUUAUGAUAAAGAUUCAAACUUAUUACUUUACUUCUAUUAAUAUCUAAAAAGUUGUGUUUCAUUUGAAUAGUCAUGAUCCUUUUUUAACGGCUUGACAAUAAAAAAACAAAAAAAAAAACUCCUUUUUGAACGGGUAUGGAGAGUUCUUUAAAUAAGAAAUCUCAAUUUUCAAAUCUUACAAUCUUGUUGGUAAUACCUGCACGCAAGCAUAUUGUAGAGAGACGUCUACGGCUUUAGGCCAACGACAUCACGCUUCUCUUUGGUUUACAAACAAGAUUUUCCAAUUCUAUUAUUCUCAUUUAAUUUUCAUAUAUCUGAUAGUGUUAUAUAUUCAAUUUUUUAUAUUUGAAUAUAUAUAUAUAUAUAUAUAUAUAUAUAUAUUGAUGCACAUAAUCAGUAAGGACUUUGGUACAACAGAAAGUGUUAAGUUUGUGACCUUCGCUAGAUUGCUCCGGUCACUAGUGUGGAUAAGUAUGUAAAUGGAUAGAGACAAGGAAGCAAACUCAAGAUGUACAUGGUGUUGGAAGUUUGAGUAGAAAUUUCCUUGUCCCACAUUGGCCAUUCCCAAAAGAGUUUAUCACUUUAUAAGGCUUUGUCCUUUAAAGAAAGUAAUUGGAGUAAUAGGCCUGGAGACUAAAAUUGGGCUCACCCUUGGGGUUGGGCUUUGGGGUGUAUUAAUUAUUUGGUAAUAAUAUAUAAUUAAUUAUAAUUAAUAUAUAAUUAAUUUCGAAUUUAAAUUAAUUAAUUAUUUUUUCCAACAGACUCAUCUUUUCAGAUGAAGUCUGAAGUGUGAAAACGCAGAAACAAAAACACCCAUCUUAGCAGAUGUCUCUCAACAGUUGCAUCCCUUCUUUAUACCUGUUGCGAACAGGUACAAUCACAUUAUAUAUACAUCCAUCUGCAUGGCAUUUACAAUAUAUAGAAAAAUCAUAAAUCUCCUCCUGCAAUCUUAAACAUCCUUACUGAGAGAACCACAUUAAUAUUCGCCAGAAGUCUAUUAACCGGUGCUGGAAUUUCUGACUUAGAUCGUUGAAUCCUGGUGGAACAGACGUCCGUAGAACUACAAGCACAGAGUAGGGACGAAAUUUCUGUUUCAAGGACAUUGCGGUACGCAAGCCUCGAUCUUCAAGUUGUCUGUUUUAUAAUUCAUAUUCUAGUUUAUAUUCUGUUAGUUUCUAUUGCAUGUAUUAUUUAUUAGCAUAUAUAAAUUAUCACAGAUUGUUGACUUAAAUCCAACACAUGGUUCACCCAUAUUGGCUACGUCCACGGAGUAGAGGAGUUCUCAUUAAUUGUGAAGGGUUUACACAAGUACAUAGGUUCAAGCUCUCAUUUUGUGAGUACUAGUGAAUGAUUUAGUACAAAUGACAUUAGGCAAUAUUGUGGGUGAAUGAUCUCCUUUUAUAGAAGAGAGUUUUUAGCUUUGUUCUGACAUUGACACGUGUCAUGUUGUGAUUGGCUUCUGAUGUUGACACGUGUCGCGCUAUGAUUGGCUUCUGAUGUCGACACGUGUCGUGCUGUGAUUGGCCUCCUAGUUGGAGGGAAACUCUUCUGGGUCCUUGAUGGUAUAACAUUGACCGGUGCUCGGUAGUUUCGGGAUUUGUCAAGUAUGGUACAAACAAUAUAUAUAUAUAUAUAUAUAUAUAUAUAUAUAUAUAUAUAUAUAUAUAUAUAUGGUCUUUAAGGGGACAUAAUCUCAUUUUCUUUUGAAAAAUAGGGAUUAGUUGUGGGCCCAAACAACAUUGAACUUCAAUGAUACAAAUGUCUAUUUUUCAAGUUAUACCUCAUAAAUCAUCCUUACAAAAUAUUAGCUGAACCAAAAAUAUUUGAGGUAUCUAAUUGAGUUCAAAGAGAUUGAGGAACACUAUGAUCUAAGAAACAUUGAAAUUCCAUCGUGACAAUUGAAUGAGCAAAUGAUUUCAGAUUAAAUUGAAUUUUUGCAAGUAUGAUCUAUCUAUGGAUCGAGAUUAACAACAUAGACGAUUCAAAUUGUUGAAGUUUGUUGUGAAGUGAGUCCCUUAACUAAUCCCUACUAUUUUAUAAAUUUGAAAAUCCCUCCGUAUAAAGGGUGUGUGUGUGUGUGUGUGUAUGAAAUCUUUAAGGGAAGGGAUCCCUAUUUGUUUUUUUAAAUGGAGAUUAGUUGUGGGGUCCACAUUACAUCGAACUUUAACGAUCCGAACGUCUAUUUUUCAAGUUACAUCUCAUAGAUCAUCCUUGCAAAAUAUUAGCCAAAUCCGAAAUGUUUAAGACAUCUAAUUAGAUUCAAAGAAAUUAACGAAUAAUUUGUUAUAUAAGAAACAAUGAAAUAUUAUCUUGAUAAUUAAAUAGGCAAAUGGUUUCAGAUUGAAUUGAAUUUUUGCAAGGAUGAUCUAUGAACUGAGACUUACAAAAUACACUGUUCAGAUCGUUGAAGUUCGAUGUGAAGUGGACCCCACACCUAAUCUCAAUUUUUUGAAAAAAAAAUGGGAAUCCCUUUGCAUGAAGGGCAUGAUAUAUAUAGACACACAUGUAGUUAGUACAAUUUUACAGUCUAUUCCACUGUAAUUUGAAAGCCCCAAUCCCUCCCACUACUAGUAGUAAUCGUAGUUUUAUUGCUGUCAGGUAUUUUUUUUUUUAUGGGCAAGGCAAGGAGAAAUUUUUAAUUGUGAUGAGAAUAUAGGUGAUACAUCACAUGUUUUUAUAUAAGUGGUAGAAAAUUUUAUUUUUUAAGUUAUUAUCUUUUUGGCACACAUAUCUCAUCAUUUGUAUAUUGACACGUGAUGUACCACCACAUGUGUCGGUUACACUGAAAAAUCUCUCCAAGGCAAAUCCCUGCUCUUCUUUCUCUCUCUAACAGUUUCCAUAAGUACAUUUUUGCUGUAUACUUUUACAACUCUUGUAUUUUUCAAACAUUUUUACUUUACCUCCUAUUUUAUUAUGUCUCAUUUUACUCCUACUCAUCUUUAAUGUCUCAUAUUAUCCUAUUUCAUCAAGGGAAAUUUUAUUUAAACCCAUGUAACCUCUUUCUACCCCCAACUUAAAUUUUAGAUGUUAAUUAUCUUUUUUACCCCAUUGCAUAAUUACCAUCAAGUACAAGAUGAAAUUAAUAAUAAAACUAAAAUUUAUCAAUAAACCCACACAUUAUAAUUAAACUCCACCAUGACUCCUUGUUUAUCUUAUGUUCAUUUCGACUAAAACCCUAUAACUUUUAUAGAGAAAAACAAGUUUUUUUCAGUCCGAGGAAAGUGCUUCUAUCGUCUAUGCAACAUUAGCUGUUGGUAAGGAGUUGCAACCAGACAAGGUGAAGGAAAAAUGUUAGUUUCCAACUGCAAGCUUUCAGUGCACUUUGAGGCUGCUGGGGUGAGAUUUCUUCACGCAUCGUAUAACACAUAAUUGAAAAGUUGGUGUUUGUGGAACCUUUCAAAAAAAUAAAAAAAAAACAAAGGGUACUCUCUCUUUCAUUCAGCAUGAAUAGUCCCUUGCAUGUCGAUCAGUGCAAACCUUGCUUCGGAGGUACCCAAGUCCAUUCCGAGAUAAAGUUGCCCCAGCCCCCACCCCCCCAAUUGGAACACCCACUUGAGCUUCAUCAUUACUACUUCCAACAACCAUUGGUACUGUUGGAUCUCUUGGCCGCCAUCUCGGUCUUGUAUGCUUGUUCUUCACGCCAUUACACAACCCAUUUCUUGAAAACUUCAUCUGUAGACUGAACAUCCCUGAAGCAUCAAACACUUAACAUCUUGAAUUUGAUGCACAACUACUGUAACUACUUGGUGUUGGUGAUGAGAGAGAGAGAGAGAGAGAGACCAUGUGUAUGCGUAUGUGUAUGUGUUGGGGAUGGCGACCAUGGAAACAUGAAGGAGGUUGCAUUUGCAGCCAUGGAAAAAAAUGCUAUAAAUGGAUGUAAAGAUCAUUUUAUAUUUUGAACUGGGUUUGGGAGGAUAGUUUAGGUAAUAACUCUGGGUUUAAAGAGAUAUUAAUUCAUAAAUAAAAAUUAAUAUGGGUGUAGAUAGUAAGUUGGGUGUAGAGAGAUGUUACAUGGGUUCAAAUAAAAGUUCUCUUUCAUCAACUGGGAACGACAUUCUCGUCGAAGGGGCAGCACUUUAGUCUUUCAGAAGUUAAUAUAAGGAGUGGAUAGAGUAAAUGAAAUUGUGAGUUUUAGAAUAAUUCUGGAAACUUGAGUCAUUUAUGUAGAGGUUUGGAUUUUCGUUUCGUGACAAAGACACUUUGCGGUUUCUGAUGUCCCAAAUAUGGAGGAGCUAAAAUGACCAAAUAUAGCUCAUGUCACAUCGCCAAACUAAUAUCACCUUCAACUUAGUUGAUGGAAUAAGGUAAAGUAGGGCACAAAUGAUGAAUAUAUAUGGCAAAGUGAGACGAAAUUGAAUGCAGAGAAUAGAAUGAAAUUUUGUGUAAUAUAUAACAAAAGUUAAGUAUAUAAUCUUUUCAUCUCCUCAGUACUGAGCUAUGCACUAGUAGAUUAAACAUUUAAAUUAAAGAAACGGCUAAAAAAGAGAAACAAUUUUUUAGCUAGAUAAUACUUGCAUCUCCUAUGGAGAGAAUAAAUUACGAAUAACGUAUCCUCAUCGUAUAAUAAAUUUAAAUCGGAACCGCUCAAUUUCUUAAUUUUUAUUUGGACAUCAUCCUUACUAACAAUCAUUAGAAUCAAAGAUCGUUUAAUGCAUUCAAAUGUAUGAAACAAGUUGAUGGUAUGAGUAACAAGUAACAUAUUGAUGAUGAAUCGUCAAUCUAUUUGAUACAUUUAGAUGAUUAAACAAACUCAAUUUCAAAUGAUAUUUUUUGUAAGAAUGAUCUUUAAAUAAAAAAUAAGAAAUUGAGUGAUUCCGAUAAUAAAACUUAUACGGCAACGAUACAUUAUUUGUAAGGAGAAGAAUAUGUGCAUUCCAGCCCCUUUGAAAUGAUGCAAGUAUUAUCUUUUCCCGCCUAACCGCACAACCAAGUCCUAUUAAUCACAACUAUAGUAAAAUCUUUACACAGUGUGUUGGGACCAAACUAAUUUAUAUCUAUAGGGAGGUUAUUACUUAAAGGAGUGUAGCGAAAAAGAUAUUUUUUGACUUAGUUAUACUUAAUGAAUGUUAUAUGGAUACAAAGAACCAGAUUAAGAGUUGAGUCAUGCCAAUUUUUAAGUAUAACAUCGCAAAAAGAAAGACACAUAAUCUCUAAAAUAUUUAUUUCAUCUCAAAUUUUUAUUUGUAACCAUAUUGCAUAGCAGCGGCGGUUCCCACUGCUGAAAAAAAAAAAAACUACUUAUUAUUAUUAUUAUUAUUAUGUGGAGGCAAGUUUCUGAAGAAACCUAGAAAAAUUAUACUUAUUACAAUGUAGAAUUUAUAGUUAUAUAUAACUGGCCCAAGUUGAGAUCAGAAUUUUUUAUAAUUACAUGAAAGUUAUUCUUUUAUAGAGCAUCACUAUAGAAAAAUACAUAAACAAGUUCUAUUAGAGCCUUUAAGAUGCACGCGCUUCUGCUCAUCACUCUAAAGUUGUAGUAAUGUUUAUCAUAUUACUUAAAUUACUGGAUGAGUUUAAAUUUUGAGAUUUAUAUUUAUUCACUACAUAAAUCUUAAAAUUUAAACUCAUAUAACUAACGUGAAGAGUGUCGCCAUUAUUUGAAAUGGUGAAUAUCACCGUCCCUUGAGAAUGAUGAUAAAAGUACUCCCUUUAAAGAUGAUGGUGUAGCCUUUAAAAUAGGAUCUUAGUAAGCGUUUAAGUACAAGAAGAAUAGUCAACAAAGAGGUGCACAUGAGAGUGGAAGCGACUAUUUUCUCAAAUUUAAUAUUCGAUAACUUAGUAAUGUUUUUGUCUCAUUUAAACUUAGAAUUCCUUUAAAUACAAGAAGAAUAGUGAUGAAAAGGGAACAAACCAAAUCAUUACCGCUCGUAACCUAACCAACUAGCCAUGGCACAUGAGCAAGUCCUAUUUAUGAUCCUCUUCCUUCUCUUAACUAUCCCUCUUAUUCUCUUCCCCACCCUAACCUCAAAACUAUUUCAAUCACACCACCCUCGACUCCCUCCAAGCCCCUUAGCCCUACCCAUCAUCGGCCACUACCACCUCCUCGGCCCUCUCCUCCACCGCACCUUCCACAACCUCUCUCACCACUUCGGCCCCUUAUUCUCCCUCCGGCUCGGCUCUCUCCAGUGCGUUGUAGUUUCCUCCCCGGACCUCAUAAAAGAGUUCCUCAGCACCCACGAGCUCUCCUUUAUAUCCCACGGACAGUCCCUCGCUAUUGAAAGCAUGACCUACAACGCUUCCCUUGCAUUUGCACCCUACGGGCCCUACUGGAAGUUCAUAAAAAAAUUGACAGUGAACGAGCUUCUAAGCAACCGUAGCAUCCACAACUCUAUGCCACUUCGAACCCAAGAGUAUCUAAAGCUUCUAAGGCUUUUGGCCAAGAAAGCUGAGAGUUGUGAACCUGUGAAUCUCACUGAGGAGUUUCCAAAGCUCUGGAACAAUGUGACUGUGGACAUGAUUUUGGGGACAAAGGGUUCCAGCGCAGAAGGAAGGGUGGCGCGGGCGGAGGAGGCGAGGCUGGUGGUGCGGCAGGCCACGAGACUUUUUGGAGAGAUGAGUUUGUGUGACUUUUUUUGGGUUUGUAAGAAGUUGGAUUUGGGAGGGUUUGUGAAGAGAAUUGGGGAUACGCAUAAGAGGUUUGAUGUGUUAGUGGAGAAGAUUAUAAGAGAAAGAGAAGAAAUGAGAAACAAGGAGAAGAAGGAGGAGGUCAAAGAUUUUCUUGAUAUUUUGGUUGAUAUGUUGGAGGAUGAGAGUUUGGAGGUUGAAUUUACAAGAGUUCACCUUAAGGCUCUAAUUACGGUAAUAAUUAGCUUCUUCGCGUUCUACUUUUUUGAACUGAGUGUUUUUAACCGAAUCUUGUCCACCCUUACAACUACUAGCAUACUUUACUUUUACCAUACAAAUUUAUAAUCAGAAUCAUUCAUUUUUUAUUUCUCAUUUAAAGAUCAUCUUCAUAUAUAUGAUUAAACAACCUUUAUUUUGGUGAUAAUUAAGAAAAUUAACGAAUUUGAUUAUGAAGUUAGAAUAUCAUCUCAAGGGGCGGAUGCAUGUGGUAGUACACUACGUCGUGGAGGCAAAUAUCGUCCUUUUUUAACUAUGUGUUUUUUGCAAAGUUUAAUUCUAACUAACCUCUUAACACGCACGGCGGAGCCCUAUGGAGGCCACAAUAGGCCAUGGCUUAUCCUGAAUUUUCAUCCAUUUAUGAGUAUUGUGUGCUAGUUUUUACAUUAAGAAUUAUACGAUAUAGUGGUAGAAACAACUUGAAGAUUUCCGCAAAUCACAAGUCUGAGACUUGGUUAUGCUAAAAAUCUUUUCAUUUAUUUUACCCUAUAAACCUCAUAAUUUGUAUGUGGUCCAAUAUUAGUAAACAUAGUGUUGGGUCCUGAGUUCAAAACUCCCUCAUCUUUUAAAUUAUUGUAAUAGUUUUGAACCCUCCCGCUCCCUUUAAGAAUUAUAAAAUUAAAAAUAAAAAGUUAUAAUUAGCCAUCUGUUUUACCAUAUAAGCCUUCUGAUGCCAACAAUCUUUUGAUUUUUUUUAAACCAAUUCCUUUUUUUUUUUUGUUAGUUUAUAAGCUUUAUAUAAACCAAGAUCUAUACAAUCUAGAGGAAAAUUCAAUUAUGUUGAAAGAAAAAUAUCAUAAUACUAGUUUUGAGCUAGUUACCUUAUUGUUUUCAUUUAAUGUGUUAAUCAUUUUUUGCAAGCUCAUAAACAAGCUAGUUCUUAUGAUAUAAUAAUACUAAAUUUUUCAUACAAACUUUAAAGCUCCAUCACUCUUAUUCAUUUUCCAUGACAAUUAAUACAAAAACACACCCAAAAAAAAAAGAAAAAAAACCUUUAAUUGGUCUCCAUUUAAUUAUAUUGCAAUAUUUUUUGUCACAUUUCUUUCAUUUGGCUUAAAGGCCCCUUCUCGAAUGGAUUUCUGACUCCGUCACAAUUAACACACGUUUAUGGGUCUUCUUUAAUUCUUCCAUAGUUAUUUGCAUAGGUAGACAUUUUUAUUUUUUUAUUGUUCAUGUAUGUAGAUAUAUGUAUAAAAAUAAUAGGAAACUUCAUUUUAAUCCUUGGCAAAGAUGACUUUUAGACUAAAAUCAUGAGUAAAAUCAAAAUCUAAUUUUAGUCUCUUGACACAUUAAUCACCUCAUUUAUUAAUUACAUUUUGAUGUUUUAAUUAUUUCUCUUUUUCUUCCUAAUUUUAAUGUAUUGAUUUUUCAUUUCAUUAAUUGUAAUAUAUUUUGGUGUAAACAUUUAGAUAAACUAAUUUUUGUUAUACAAUAUAUUUCGAUAUACUUGGUCUUCUUCAUUUAAGUACAUUAAAUUCAUUAUAAUAAUUUCGGUAUACACAUUUUGGUACAUACAUUUCGAUACAAACAUUUAGGUACAUACAUUUCCGUACUAACAUUUUGAUGCAUACAUUUCAGUACACACAUUUAGGUACAUUAAUUUAAUAUAAUACAUUUCGGUACUAACAUUUAAAUACAUUAAUUCAAUAUAAUACAUUUUGGUACUAAUAUUUUAGGUACAUUAAUUAAAUCUUUCAAGUUUGAAGAAUGUUAAAUAAAAUUAAUAAAUUAAAAAAAACUUUUUUUGGUCAAAAAAUAAAUUAGAAUGUGUAUAUUAAUAAGUGAGACAUUGAAUAAAAUACAUAUUAAUUAUUUUGAAUUAAGAACACACCAAGGGACUAUAAUCAAUAAGUAAUCUAUCACCAGGUUUAUUUUAAAUUUCAAACUUCUUCAACGAUUAAAGUUAAAAAAAACCCCUAAAAAUAAAAGACAAAUAGAAUACAGAAACUGAAGGCGAAAAUGAAAAUAAAUGGACAUGAUCGUACGUAUCGUAGUUUUAUACACGCGAUCUUUAUAGUGAAAAAAUAAGGAUUUCAUAGUAAACUCAAUUGGUAAUAUGGAAGUAGCCUAACAUCUCACAAACAUUAAGCACAUAAAAUAUCCAUUCUUUCUCUGAUGUGAGAUUCACAUUCUGACAAAGUUUUUCUUAUUUGUUACACUUUUGCUUGUAUGUGUUCUUCGUGUAUGUGUGUGUUACGUGUUUGAUAAUCAAAGUCUAGUUCUAGUAGGAUUUUUUUUUAUCAGAGUAGUUUUAAUGGUUUAAAUGUACAUUAGUAGUAUUCAUCUCCACUUAUGAGUGAUAACUCAGUACUACGGUCUAGUAGCAUUCUUUUUCACUUUAAGUGAGAAGUCUAUAUGUUCGAUUUUCGCCAAAGACGAAUUUGAACCACAUUAUUAGUGGCUCAUUGUGAGGCUAAGUCCACCCCCUCCCCUUAGUUGUAUUAAAUAAAAAGGUACAAAGUUUUGUGACUAACAUACAUUAGAAGUCAAAUUACACAUAUGAGUCUUCAUAUUUGCCUUUGAUAUUGAUGUACCCUUAAGUACAUUUAUUCUUCAGGAUUUAUUCACGGCCGGAACAGACACAAACGCAAUUUCACUAGAAUGGGCGUUGGCAGAGCUCAUCAAUCACCCAAGGGUGCUCGAGAAAGCGAGGGAGGAGAUCGACCGAGUCAUCGGGAAUAAACGACUCGUCGGAGAACCGGACGUGCCAAAUCUUCCAUACCUCCAAGCCAUCAUAAAAGAAACAUUUAGACUACACCCACCAGUGUCUCUGGUCACAAGAAAAUCUGGACAACAAUGUAAGGUUGGAGGGUAUGACAUCCCAACAAAUACCAUGUUGUUUGUGAAUGUUUGGGCCGUUGGAAGGGACCCGAAGAUCUGGGACUGCCCAUUGGACUUUUGGCCUGAAAGAUUCCUACAACUAGGUUCGGACAACAAGGUGAAUUCAGUAGAUGUGAGAGGGCAACAUUUCCAACUGCUUCCUUUUGGGUCUGGGAGGAGGGUGUGCCCUGGUGUGAACUUGACCAUGAAAAUGCUACCUGGGGUACUUGCAGCUAUGAUCCAGUGCUUUGAUUGGAAGGUUGUCGGGUCCGACCGCAAUAAUAUGAACCGUGAUGAUGUUCUUGAAAUGGAUGAACGGCCCGGAUUUACUACUCCAAGGGCGCAUGAUCUUGUGUGUAUUCCAGUUGCCCGAUUCAGCUCACUCAACAUCCUUGAUCCAUAAACUACAGGGGAAUGGGGGGUUUAAACUCAAGGACCGGUGGAUUGAGGAGGAAGACCUUAUCCACCUGUACAAUCCCCACUUUCGCUAACUCUUAUGUGGUCACAAAAAUAUUAUGAACAUUAGUGUGCUGUAAUGUGUGUUUUCAUUUGUACUCUAAUAAAGAAAUCUUCAAUUAUCCAUCUGCAAGGUCAGUUGAUCAUAUCAUUAACUUUUCCUUUAUGAUUUGCUGCCUUUGGUGGGGUGGCUUUCUAUCCUUCUGAUUCCGCUUGAUGGCUUGGACACGACAUGAUUAAUCCCUUCCGAACAGACUGUGUAAUGCCCUCCAAACGAAAGAUGCUCGAGGCGCAUGGGAAUAUUGUGGAAUCUGCCUAUAUAAUGGGGGUAUUCUUAUCUUAUUCGAAAAAAAUUCACACGUCAUCUCCAGGAUUUUUAAGAUUAUUUUGGAUCCACGAGAUCUCUAAAAUUUGACUAGUAUUAUCAACUCUUCAAAGCAAACACCAACCGUACCAAGCAAACUUGUUCUAUUUUAAGUUGUUCUCCUAAGUUUUAAAUAGAUUUUAUUUUUAAUUAGAAAUUUGAUUUGAUUUGGUCUAGUUUUCCUUGUCUUAUUGACAAAUGGUUGAUACUAUAUAUUUUCGUAUUAUUGAUCCUUUGUAAUCUUAAAACUUCCAUAUGAAGAAGAAUAAAAUAUUAAAAUUGUAUUUGAGUUUGUGAGAUUAAUAGAGAAUUUUGAAUUUAUAUAUACUAAAACUCAAAACAAAUUGUUUUACUGUUCAUUCAACAGUGUGCUUCCUGUUUUGACCCUGCUAAGUUUGUGUUAUUACUUCUCCUGUCACUGUCUCUUUAAAUAUAUAUUCCUUGGUGUGUGCUUUUUGUAGACGAUAUAGUGUUGAUAGAUAAAACUCAGGAGGGGGUAAAUGUGAAGCUUAACCUUUGGCGGGAAGUGUUGACUUUAAAGGUCUUUGCCUAAGUAGGUCAAAGACAAAGUAUAUGGAAUGCAAGUUCAAUGGGAACAAAGGUUCAAUGAGUUAGGGAUGAGGAUUGGAGAUCAGAAAGUACCAAAUAGGGAACGUUUUUGCUACCUUGGAUCUGUCUUGGAAAAGAACAAAGAAUUGGAUAAAGACCUCAACCAUAGAAUACAAGCUGGAUUGAUGAAGUGGAAGAGUGCAUCGGGUGUGUUGUGCAACCAUUGUAUGACACUAAAACUCAAGGAAAAAUCUUUAGGACUGCAAUAAGGUUAGUAAUGCUUUAUGACACGGAAUGUUGGGUAUUCAAGCAUUAAUAUGUACACAAAAUGAGUGUAUCGAAGAUAAAAAUGCUUCGUUGGAUGUGUGGGCACAUGAAAGGAUAAGAUUAGGAACGAGGAUAUCUGAGGUAAAGUAAAAGUAAUCGAAUUUGAAGAUAAGAUCAGAAAAUUUCUGUUAAGAUGGUGUGGACAUGUGAAAUGAAGUCCUAUAGACGCUACAGUUAGAAGAUGUGAUUACAAGACUAAGGCUCAAGGCUAAAGGGAUAGAGGAAGACCUAAGAAAACUUGGAAAGAGAUUCUAAGAAAAGACUUGGAGUACUUAGAUUUAACGAAAGAUUUAGCACAAAACCUAAAACAGUGUUGUUCAAGGAUUCAUACAGCCAACCCUACUUAGUUGGAUAAGACUUUGUUGUUGGAUAAGGCUUUAUUGUUGUUGUUAAUGUUUCCUUAUUUCUCUUCCCUCUUACUCCUCCCCAACUGCGACUCCGACUCCCCAUUGGAACGACAAAUCAAAAAAUCACCAUUUUUAUCUCCUUCUCCAAAUCAACACAUUCAUUGAUUAAUCUUAGGUCGCACCCGAACCCUUAAAAUCCUCAAACCCAAUUUGGGUUCGACAUUCCCGGCGACUUUCAGGCCUUUUCUGGUGACAGCCGACCCUGCAACCACAAUUAUUCGACUCAGGAGAGUCCCAACAAGAACAUUCGAGCUUAGCGUGCUUGAAUCUACCCCUUGAUCCAAGAGUUCUAUAAGCCUUGCUUGCAGUAGGUUUUCCGACUAAGAUUCGAGUUUUUUAUGGGCCAAUUUAAGGCCUUUCUGACCAUUUUUGGGUCCGGCGAAGGUAGUAGGGAUACAACAAAUUAUUUUUACGGAUACAACAAAUUAUUUUUACGGAUACAACAAAUUAUUUUUACUUACUUUCAAAAUUAUUUUAUAAGUAAUUUUUGUAUCUGUGAAUUGCUUGAUUCAAAUGUUAUAUCUCAUCUGCAUAUUGAGGUUUUCUGACAUAAAAUUUCCACAUUCCACAUAUUGAUAUAAGGCUAAAGAUCGAGAACGUACUAAACCAUCUAAUUUGUCUAAUGGAUCGCCGUAGUUGUUGGCCAGUAUGCUUGAAAUGGAACCUAGUGAUAUAUCCUACAAACAGGGGAAGAGAACGGUGCUCCAGAUCGAGUUUUAAGAGAUCCCUUCAAUCUGUUAGGGCUUUGCAUACAAUGGCUAUGUAAUAUAUACAUAUAUAUAUAUAGAGAUAUACAUACAUAUACAUACAUAUCUGAUCAUGUAGACCAAAAUAGAAUGGGUUACUAAUCUGUAGUGAACUGGAUACAUUCAUUGUAUUGCAAUAAUUUCUUAUUCAAAUGAUUAGGCCCUCUCAUCCACCGCACCUUCCACAACCUCUCUCACCGCUUCGGCCCCUUAUUCUCCCUCCGCCCGGGCUCCCUCUAAUCCAUGUAGUUUCCUCCCCGGCUGUCGGGCUUGCCAGCUUGGAAGCUGUAGCGCACAGCUUGCAAUGAGUGAGUUUUGAGAGAAAUUGCUGCUGAGGAUGGCAAUAUAAUCCGUCAAAUCUGAUCCCCACAUGUAACCGACCUGAAUAGUUUUGUUUUGAGUAGCAAAUUUCGGGUUUUUUACGGUUAUGGGUAACCGUUGGGUAAAUUGUUCGGUUUCGGAUUCGAUUAUGGUUAUAGGGGUAUCCGUUCUGAACCCGUCCCGUUUUCAUUCUUUAAUAAAAAAAUAUAAAUAUUUAUUAUAUAUAUGUUUUUAUAAAAGAAUGAAAUCCAUGUGCAGUGUGUAGACUUCAAACUUUAGUACUCCUUGGGAGACUACUAGGGUGCGUUUGUUGCGCCGGACUGUCUCGGACUGGACUAGCUGCCGAGACUAAGCUGGACUGGCUUAGACUGGACUAAGCUGGACUAACUUAGUGAAGCGUUUGGUGCAGUCUCGGACUAAGAAGCAGGAUAAGAAAAACAGUACUGUUCACCAGAUUUGUGUUUGCUUAGACUAGGACUACAAAUUUUUGCCAUUGUGUAAUAGAGUAAUGCUACAAAUCUCAUGAUAUGGGUUAAUUGGAGCAUAUUUUUGCCAUGUAUAUUAUGAAUCUUAAAAAAAAAUUGACAAUUGUUUUGUUUCUAUUACCUGCUAAUAGAAUUGGGUUUAAUUUGCAAAUGUAGCUUGAAGAGUUAAGACUGAAAAUGCUCCUAACAAUUUCUUUCCAUGUCCUUCUUGCUCAUUAAGCAUAAUUCUAUGCUCAUUCACAUUAUGCACAACCAGUGGCGGAGCCAGGAAUCUUACCACAAGGGGUCGUAGUGUAAAAGUCCAGAAAAAAAAUUUAGGAUGGAAAUGUUAAAGUUAAUGCUUUACUUAAACUGAUUAUGUGUAAAAGGGCUGACUGUUGCCUUUAUCAGUCGACCCAUUCUAUUUAUCAAUCGACCCAUUCUAUUUAUCAGUCGACCCAAUUACUUCAGUCGGCUUAUGUAUUGAACUAAUUCUGUGUAAAAGGGCUGACUGUUGCCUUUAUCAGUCGACCCAUUCUAUUUAUCAGUCGACCCAUUCUAUUUAUCGACCCAUUCUAUUUAUCAGUCGACCCAUUUUAUUUAUCAGUCGACCUAGAGUAAAUUCAAUCGAUCUAAAGUAACUCCUAAAUACAUGCAGAAUCAUUUUGUUACUCAAUGCAUAAUCAGUUUGUUACUUCAUGCAAAAUCAGUUUGUUACUCAAUGCAGAAUCAAUUUGUUACUUCAUGCAUAAUCAGUUUGUUACUCAAUGCAAAAUCAGUUUGUUACUAUUAUAUACUAUAUCAAAUUUUAUUAAAAAAAAGUAUAUAAAAUAUUUGAUUUGGGACAAGGGCAUUUUAGUAAUCAUACUGGUUUAUAUUCCGAUUCUGCUGAAUUAGUAAACAGCUUUAUGGAAUUGUAUUCCGAUUCCAGACAGUUUUAGUAAACAAUUUCAACAAGAAUCUGAUUCUGAUUCCACCUCAUUUCAAUUCCUCCUCAAUCAAAUUCCUCCUCAAUCCGAUUCCUCUCAAUUUGAUUACGGAUUAGUAAACGCGCUAUAAUAGUGGCCAAUACAUGCAACUUCAACAAAUACAAGUACAUAAGAUCUCCAUAAUUUAGAAAAUCCUAGUUAACAUUAGUUAACAUUAGCCAAAAUAGAUCUCUAUAAUUUACAAAAUGGCUAGUUAACAUAAGCCAAAAUACUAGUGCAAAGCUAAGUUAUAAGUCAUAACAUAAGAUUGUAUGAUUAAUAAAAUACAUCCAUGUUAACGUUAAUAAAAAUACAUCCAUGUUAACAUUAGCCAAAAUCCUCAUCCGCUUGCGUUGUCGCUUAAAAGCCUUUGGACGAACACUUUCUUGAGUUCCGGUUUGAUUGCCCUGAACACUCCCACAUUUUUUGGUUUAUCCAAAAUAAGAGACAAUGCAUCAAUUUGAUCCAUAGGAGAGAGACCCAUUUCUUCAAGUUCAUUAGCUAUGUCAGUAUGAUCUGCAGUACCUUGAACUAAAGCUUCAGUUACCAUUUGCAUCCUCUUCCCACUUUCAACAUAAAAAUCUUUCAGUCCACUGAUAAUUGCCUCGGUUCCAUCACUUGAACUUCCCACAGCUCUUUUCCUCUUUCUUUGGCUAUUUUCAAAUGGGGUGCUUUGUUGGCUUUGUUGGUUCAUUGAAGAAACAAAAUUUUCACCUCCAAUAUCACUUUCACCAACAUGAUCAUGACUUUGUUCCUCCACCAUUUGAGCAGGGGUUUCGGCUACAUUACCCGUAGCCCGAUCUUUUCCAAAUAUAUAUGCAAAUCUAUCAAACAGUGGAAAAUGUUUGCUUCUCCAUCCAUCGGCUUCUUUAUUUCUCUAAGAUUAUAUCAACAUAGCAAAACUAAAAUUUUAGCAUGCGUAACAAAUAUAGGAGCAAGAAUAUAACUAAUGCAUAAAUAAAAUAGGAUAUGAACCUGCACAUAAGUUUGCCAUGCGUCAUCACUGUCAACUUCAACGCACUUUUUGACAUCAUUCCAUGCAAAUUCACUUGUGUUUAUCAUGUCAACGACCAUACUAUAUGUUUUUUUCCAUUUCUUCAACUUGGACUCAAUAUGUGGAUUUGCCUUUUAUAUUUGAAUGAGGACAUAAAACAUUGACAGCUUUUGCUAUUUCAACCAAAGUACCUUGUUUGAAAGCACCGGUGUCACACCGUUGCUUCCGAGCAACAAAAUCCUCAAGAACUCCUAGUAAUACUUCUUCCUCAAAUGCUUCCCAUUUACGCCUUCUUCCUUUUGCCUCUUGAGUAGCAUUCAAAAUAUUUUCGUUAUCCAUACCUAAACAAAAAAUAUUUUAAUGAAGGAAAAUACCAUACAAAUAAUCAAUUUGAAUAAUAUCCAAUCAACUUGCAUAAUAUCCAAUCAACUUGCAUAAUAUCCAAUUAAUUUGCAUACCAUCCAAUCAUUGUGCUAAUAUCUAAACAAAUGCAUGAUAAAAAAAAAGGAAUACUAAAAUAAAAUGUUAUCAUUAAAACAUAUAGCUAGUUCGGUUGCUGGUUCCUAAUUGCUCUCCACUCAUUAUACAUUUCCUGAGCCAUAUCAUUCCUCAUUGCAGUCCACUGGUCCGAUGUUUGAACACUACCAACAUAUUCACCUUCUUCUGUAUUUUGUCCAUCUUCUAUUAUUGGCAAAUUCUCCAUUGGAUCUACUGACAUCUCUUGCCUAAUAAGAUUGUGUAGUAGGCAACAAGCAGUAAUUAUUCGACCUUGUGUCCUUAUCAGAUAGAAAGAUGGACUCCUUAGUAUCGACCACCUUCCUUUUAGCAAGCCAAAACAGCGUUCAAUUACAUUCCUUGCCUUAGAAUGCUUCAUGUUAAAAUAUUCUUCCUUAUUAGAAGGUGUUCGUCCCUCCCAUUCAGAUAAAUGAUAAGGUAUUCCUCUAUAGGGUGCAAGGAAUCCUUCACCAUUUGUAUAACCACCAUCUACAAGGUAAUAACAACCUAAUGAAAAAAAAAACAGACCUUAUUAGUGUUUUGUAGUUGACAAACAGAACUAAACCUAACUUAGAAAGUUGAGACUAAGUAAUAGUCUUACCCGCUGGUACCUUAAAACCAUUAGGCCUACUAAUUGCAUCAUGUAGCACUCUAGAGUCUGAUGCGGAACCCUCUCACCCCGGAAACACAUAUAUGAACUGCAUAUCUCCUGAACACACACCUAACACAUUAGUUGCGACUCGACCCUUUCUUGUUCGGUAUCUUGGUUUGUCAAUUUCAGGUACAUGCACAUCAAUGUGUGUUCCAUCCAAUGCUCCCAAGCAAUUCUUAAAAAUAAAAAAUAAAAAACUUUUUGUUAAUUUAUACAAAGGGAAUGAAGAGUUAAAGCUUAGGGAAAAUGAAAAAAAUUUCUCAUCAUACCUUAAAACAUCGCCACCUAGCAUCUGUAGAAUUAAUAGGCACAGGCUGGGGGACUUUUAGUAGGAUACCUUGUAAUCGCAAAAUUCCUUGCAAUACUCUAUUGAAAUACCUACUUAUAGUCUCUCCCGACCUAUAAAAUCUACCGCCAACACUACGAUUCUUAGUAUGAUGUGCUAAUAUUUGUAAAGUCAUACACACAUGUUCCUCUACAGACACCAAACCAUCAGUUUUUACCCUCCCAUCUUGACGAAGUAAGUCGCAUAAUAUGCCAAAAGUCCUUCUAUCCAUUCUCAAUUCGUUAACACAUUCAGUAUCAGUAUUCCCUAUUAUACCAUUCAGAUAACACAAACUAAUCUCUCGUCUAAUAAGUGAACGGUUAGUCAAUGUGGGUCGUUCAACAUGUCUCUGUUUGCCACGUAGCAUCAUCACCACAAGAAUCGUACAAAUACAAAUUGUCUCCAAAUAAGACAUCUCUAACAAUAAGAUCAAUAAAAGCUUCCUUCGAUCCAUAUCUAUCCAAACAAAAAAAAAAAACAAAAAACAAAUUCAGGACAUUAUAUAUGUAAUAUUUACUGUUAUUAAGGGUGAUGGAAAUGAAGUGAUUAUGAUACGAAAUGAACUAGAUCAAAGUAACUAGCGAAGUCACAAUCCGAGGCAUCAAAUAUACGGGUGGUGUUGGAAAAAAAAAAGUUAUCAUUAACCCGAGGCAACAAAUAUACAGGUGGCGUUGAAAAAAAAAAAGUUAUCAUUAACCCGAGGCAUCAUAUUCAAAAUGUUCUACUCUUAUAUAUCUAUAAACAUGUGUCUAAGAACACUAGUAUGAGGAUUGCUAUCAUUGCUAGGCAUUGCAUGUGAAGAGGGAAAUUAAAGGACACCUGUAAUGCAGUAGCCUUAGCCUUAGCCUUCCGUUUAUGCUCCUCUUCUCUGCAACCAACAACCACAAAAAAAUGCAAUUCAGCAUCAACCCCACACAAUACAAAACAUUCACAUUGUAAUAUCAUGGUUAUAAACCAAGUACAAAGCACAGACACUCACACUCACUGCACACACACACACACACUGCAUACACACACACACACUGCAUACACACACACACUGCACACACACACACACUGCAUACACACUGCACACACACUCACACUCACUGCACACACUCACACUCACUGCACACACACACACACUGCAUACACACACUCACUGCACACACACACACACACUGCACACACACACUGCACACACUCACACUCACUGCACACACACACACACUGCAUACACACACACACUGCACACACACACACUGCACACAUACUGCAUACACACACACUGAAUGUACGACAUUCAAGAUUCCCCAAGUUUAACACAACAACAACUCCCGUCUCACAAAAUUCAGGAAUGCUAAUGAGUCUUAUUUCCAUGUAUACCAACAAAAGUCCCUGUUACAUACAUAGAAGGUGAAAGCACAUGCCCAGAAAACUUAACACUUCCACUGGACAUCAUAAUUAAGCUUUAGACAAAAGAAGUAAGCAUGAAACAAGGCAACUAUAUCAAAAGAAGUAAACUCCAUCAAUAUGUUGUCCUAGUCUUAAGUAUAUUGCUUUAUGUGAAAAUAUGUAACCGAAACUCCAUCAAUAGAAUCAGCAGGGGUUCUCAACAAUAGCACAAUAUUUUUAGAGCAAAGGCUUUGGAUUCAUUUAGUUGUAAACUUAUUCAAUAGAAUCUAUUCCUUUUUAAUUUGCAUAUUUAUAAUUCCUUUCUAUUUCCUAACAAGAUCAAAAGGCACAAACAAAAGCUUACCCUAUGCGAACACAAGAGUACCGAUCAUUGGCUUGUUCUAGGUCACUUCACAACAAGUCAACACUGAGAUUGUCCAAUAUAGGGAAAGUUUCUAAAUAGUUGUUAACCUUUAUUGUAUUUAUCUUUUAUAUGUCGACCUUUCUAGUAUGUCUGAUAACAAGAAACAAUUAACCUUAGGAAGUCAAGAGACGAAAUGCUCAAAAGCGCUGUUUCCUCUUUAAAUCAAAUUCGAAUCAAACUGUUUAAAAGAAAAUGAGAUCAACCGUUAACAUUGAAUCAUUUUCACUAAGUUGGUUUUAAGUAAGCAUCUGAAGGAUGCAUAUACUUAAAGACAGAAAUCUGAGUUCAAAUGCCUAGAGGUGUUGAAAACCAAGAUCAGACAUGAAUGGCCAACCAUUUCACACCCACUCACUCAUCUCACACUCACUCACGAAUUUUAGACACAUAACGAAACAAGACAAGAGCUCCAACCUCAACAUAGCAUACCAAUUCCUACUUACAUUACCAAUAAGGAAGCCUCUACAUGCAUGGUACCAGUAAAAAAUGGACCGCCAAUCCAACACAAUAAAAUAACAAAAUGAGGUGUGAACGAACAAGUAAAAAGCCACAAGUGUUAGAUACAAUAUACAUAGUCACAAUCACAACUAGACUAUUUCUAACAAGUUACAGAGGAAAAUUUCCUCUUUCACAAUCAAAGCUCAAAAAGGCGCUACACCUAGAAAUGAUGAUUCUACUUAAUAGAAAACUAUAAUCAUGUUGUAACUAGUGGCUGCAUCCCUGAGGAUCUGGCAAACCUAGUAACACCACCACUUUGAAGAAAUUAGAUAACGAAAUACCUCAUAGAAGUAAAUCCUCACCACCAAAUAUAUAUAUAUAUAUAUAUAGUUGUGUUCGUUGAGAGAACAAGCAUCGGUAAGGACCUACACGAUACUUGGUACUUCUCUUGUGCCACAAGUACAUACUAUAUGGUGAAAGGAAGGGAUGCUGAUACUGUGCUCAAAACCAUAAAAUUGAAGAAAAAAAACUAAAAUUAUCCACAAAAAUUGACAAUCUUUCUAAUCAAAAUUCAAAAUUAUUUCUGAGCAACAAGGAUAACACCAUUUUCUCGCAAACAUCAACCGAACAACUAAGUUAACCCUGUGACCCUAUGGGACCAGAUGAAACUAAUGCAAUGGCAAUGGUAAAAGCAUCAUAUUGUAUCACGAUUAUACAAAGCUACAACAAAACUGCAAUCCCAGUGGACAUUAAAAAUGACUGAUGCACUCACAGCUAUCAACUACUAUAUCAUCUCAAACUAGACUGUCCAAAUAGGCAAGGGGGCUAGAGAAUUCACUUAAUAUAUGGAAAAUAAUGGUAGAUCAAAAGAUCGAACAUUGAAAUCAUAACUGAUUUUGAUUUCUUCAAAUUAUAAGAAGGUAUAUCAUAAAUAAAAGGAUUAUACGAGGAAUCAAUCAGAACCCAUUAAUAAUGUCAUAGAUUUUGAACCCAAAACAACAAAAUCGAUCAGAACCCAAUAAUAAUUUCACAAUCUACAAAACAAAAUCAUAGAAAUAGGUCGUCGGAUUUGGAAUUUACCAGAUGAGGACGAGCAGGACGAGGGAGUAGGACGAGCGAGGAGGAUCAGCGAGGAGGAGGACCGACGAGAAAGACGACCAAGAAUGAGGAACGAGCAACGCUCUCAAAGAAGGGCUUAGCAAUCCCGUGAGAAUUGGGGUUCUCGCUAAGAACUUUUAGCGAAGGGGUUAGUCGGAGCGAGUACCGGCUAAUCCCAUUAAACUUAAUUCCCGUGCGAAACAAACACUGGACUAUAGUCCAGUCCAGUCCAGUGAAACUUAGUGAGCCCAAACAAACACACCCCUAAAGUCUUGAGCGUGCAUAUUGUGCAGUGUGCAGACUUCAAACAGUUUCUUUUAUAAACAGUUUCUUUUGAUGUAAGUUUGCUCUUAUACAUACAUUGAAUUAUGCAUAUUAAAUUUUUGAAACUGGAUAUUUUUUAAAUCAUACUUAUUCCUUGUUCAUUGUUUUCAUUGAAGGGGUUAUGUGAAGAUGGUCGUGAAGGAGGAAUUGGAACAUCAUGGGAAAACAAACGGGGGAAUCCGUUACCCAACGGGUUCAGUUACGAGGAAUACCCGUUCAGAUUUUUUACGGUUUCGAGUACGGGGAAAACAAACGGGUUCAGUUAUGAGGAUGGCACAUCCUAACCCAAUUCACCCCGUUGCCUGCACUUGCAGCCAAUGGGUAGGAGAAAAUGACAGAUACGACAGGCAGGGCAGUGGGUAAAGUGGGAACAAAGGGAGGUGGGGAAUCGAGAAAAAAAAGAGGAUAUGUUAGGGUUAAUUAGGGACAAGUGAUCCCUCUUAUGUUUUUUUUUUUUUUAAUGAUCCAAAACCUGAGCCGUUCAACUUAAAAAACGAGUUAUAUGUAGAAAAACUGGACUGUUCAAUUUGGGCUCUAGAUAUUGUAUUUUUUUUUUAUACCUAGUUAUGUGGAUUUUUAUUUUUUGUUGCCCUUCUCAAUCUUGGGCCCCAGACGGUUGCCCUGGUAGCAUUGGGUCUGGCCGGGAGUUAGUUUAACCUCACAAUAGGCGUCUAAUUUUUUUUAACUAAUAAUGUUUUUUAACCGUAUCUUGUCACCCUUAUAACUAGCAUAUUUUUACCAUAUAAAUUUUAUAACUAGACCCAUUCAUUUAUUAUUUCUCAUUUAAAGACCAUCUCUAUAUAUAUGACUAAAUAACCUUUAAUUUUGAUGAAUUUUCGAACGUGAGAGAUAAUAAGUUCAAAUGUUGUGAAUAUCGAGUUCGAAACCAAUUUUUUCCCCUUCACUCUUAGUGUAAAUAUAUUGUUGUAUUGAAUAAUAAGGUACAACUCCGCCUAUGUCUUACAUGGCCGGUCCCAAGCCCGGAUAAAGGAGGAGGGGGAGGGCGUCAGGUAGUCGACAGCCGGCACUCCAUGAUCACGUCGAAUCCUUAUGAAAAUGAAUCCAGAACAAAAUCGCGCUAAAGCUAGGGCGUCACCCGUAAGUGGCGCGCUGUGUGGCCCGAGCACAGUGAUAAGUGAGCAAGGGUCGCUGUAUCUCCAUCGGCACCCGGAUGCAGUGUUAAAUGAGCAAGGGGGCCAUAGAAACUUCUUUUCGAACGACUCCACUCAAAGUUGUUUGGGAGCAUAUGCUCCUAUCAACUUUACCCGGGACACACAAAAGAAGUACUUUGAUCCUAUUAGACGGGGGAGGGUGAAGAAGCUAGGACAGAAGGGUAGAGUUCAAGAGAGCAAAAUGCGUUUAGGAACGUGGAAUAUAGGAACCUUAACGGGAAAAUCUAUGGAAGUAGUGGAAGUUAUGGUGAGGAGAGAAGGAUAAAUAUUAUGUGCCUACAAGAAACUAAGUGGGUUGGUAGUAAGGCAAAGGAUCUAGAAAACUCAGGGUUUAAACUUUGGUAUUCGGGCACAAAUAGAACGAGAAACGGUGUUGGCAUCAUCGUGGACAAGACCUUGGUACAAGAUGUUGUAGAUAUCAAGAGGGUAGGAGAUAGAAUCAUGGCAAUCAAGAUUGUAAUAGGACAAGAACUUAUCAAUGUGAUUAGUGCGUACGCACCUCAAGUAGGGUUGGAUACGAGUUCGAAGGAGAAAUUUUGGGAAGAUCUUGGAGACUUGGUGCAAAGAAUUGCUCAGACGGAGAAGUUAUUUAUAGGAGGAGAUUUAAAUGGACACGUGGGCAGGGAGACAGGCAACUAUGGAGGUUUUCAUGGUGGCCAUGGUUUUGGGGAGAGAAACGAGGAUGGGGAAGCUAUCUUGGAUUUUGCAAUGGCAUAUGAUCUCUUCUUAGCCAACACCUUCUUUAAGAAGAGAGAAGAACAUGUGAUCACCUACAAGAGUGGGUCGUCAAAAACACACAAAUAGAUUUUCUUCUAAUGAGGAAAGGGGAUCGUAUAACUUGUAAGGAUUGCAAAGUUAUACCAGGAGAGAGCGUGGCUAAUCAACAUCGCUUGUUGGUGAUGGAUGUACAUAUCAAAAGAGUAAGACAAAAGAACAAGACUUGGAAGUGCCCAAGAACUAGAUGGUGGAAUCUAAAAGAAGAAAAAACAAGCCAUUUUCAAAGAGAAGGUAAUCACCCAAUGUGUGUGGGAUAGAGAGGGGGAAGCUAGCCAAAUGUGGGAUUCCAUGGCUAGUUGUAUCCGAAAAGUAGCAAAAGAGGUAUUAGGAGAGUCCAAGGGCUUUGCCCCACACCAAAAGGAAUCUUGGUGGUGGAAUGAGGAGGUACAAACAAAGGUGAAGGCUAAGAAGGAAUGUUGUAAAGCCUUAUACAAGGAGAGGACCGAUGAAAAUGGUGAAAGGUAUAGAAAAGCGAAGCAAGAGGCGAAGAAAGCUGUCAGAGAAGCUAAGUUAGCGGCUUACGACGAUAUGUAUAAACGACUAGAUACCAAAGAAGGAGAGUUGGAUAUCUAUAAACUAGCUAGAGCAAGGGAAAAGAAGACAAGGGACCUAAACCAAGUGAGGUGCAUCAAGGAUGAGGAUGGAAAGGUUCUUGCUACAGAGAACGCGGUUAAAGACAGAUGGAGAGGUUAUUUUCAUAAUCUUUUCAAUGAAGGACAUGAAAGGAGUGCUUCUUUAGGGGAGUUGAGUAACUCAGAAGAGUGUAGAAACUACUCCUUUUAUCGUCGAAUCCGGAAGGAAGAAGUGGUUGUAGCUUUGAAGAAGAUGAAGCAUAGAAAAGCAAUAGGCCCAGACGAUAUACCAAUCGAAGUGUGGGAAAGUUUUGGGAGAGACAGGUAUAACAUGGCUCACUGACCUUUUCAAUAGGAUUUUGAAAACGAAGAAGAUGCCAAAUGAGUGGCGAACGAGCACUUUGGUGCCUAUCUACAAGAAUAAGGGCGACGUACAAAAUUGCAUGAACUAUAGGGGUAUUAAGCUAAUGAGAGUCAUACAAUGAAGCUCUGGGAGAGAGUCAUUGAGCAUAGAUUGAGGCAAGAGACACGGGUUUCGGACAACCAAUUCGGGUUCAUGCCAGGGCGCUCAACCAUGGAGGCAAUCUAUCUCUUACGAAGAUUGAUGGAAAGAUAUAGAGAUGGGAAAAAGGAUUUACACAUGGUCUUUAUAGAUUUGGAAAAAGCGUAUGAUAGAUAGGGUCCCAAGAGACAUUCUUUGGAGGAUUUUAGAGAAGAAAGGAGUACGAGUAGCAUAUAUCCAAGCUAUAAAGGAUAUGUAUGAAGGAGCAAAGACUGCCGUAAGAACUCAUGAAGGACAAACCGAAAGCUUUCCCAUAACUGUAGGAUUACAUCAAGGCUCAUCCUUAAGUCCUUACCUUUUUGCGUUGGUAAUGGAUGAGUUAACAGGACAUAUUCAAGAUGAUAUUCCUUGGUGUAUGCUUUUCGCAGACGAUAUAGUGUUGAUAGAUGAAACUCAGGAAGGGGUAAAUGCAAAGCUUAACCUUUGGAGAGAAGUGUUGGAAUCUAAAGGUCUUCGCCUAAGCCGAUCAAAGACAGAAUAUAUGGAGUGCAAGUUCAGUGCAAAUGGGAGGCCAAAACGAGUUAGGGGUGAGGAUCGGAGAUCAAGAAAUACCAAAGAGCGACCGUUUUCGUUACCUAGGAUCUAUCUUGCAAAAGAACGGAGAAUUAGAUGGAGAUCUCAACCAUAGAAUACAAGUUGGAUGGAUGAAGUGGAAGAGUGCAUCCGGCGUGUUGUGUGACCGCCGUAUGCCACUGAAGCUCAAGGGAAAAUUUUAUAGGACGGCAAUAAGGCCGGCGAUGCUGUAUGGCACAGAAUGUUGG
This 58319-nucleotide long non-coding RNA is filed under the name Malus domestica (apple). RNAcentral describes it as "long non-coding RNA (MDOM_LNC010095)". Lineage: Eukaryota; Viridiplantae; Streptophyta; Magnoliopsida; Rosales; Rosaceae. The record is from RNAcentral.